RNAcentral lists this long non-coding RNA (44661 nucleotides) under Vitis vinifera (wine grape). RNAcentral describes it as "long non-coding RNA (VVIN_LNC006289)". The record is from RNAcentral. Lineage: Eukaryota; Viridiplantae; Streptophyta; Magnoliopsida; Vitales; Vitaceae.
UUUGGAUCAUGCCAACAUUGAAACCUUUAUAGAUGAUGAAGGACUUCCAAGGGGAGAAGAGAUUGCGCCCGAGCUCCUAAAAGCUAUUGAAGGAUCAAGGAUUGCCCUUAUUGUCUUCUCGAAAACCUAUGCUGAUUCCAAGUGGUGCUUGGAUGAACUCGUCAAGAUCAUGGAGUGCGAGAAAGAAAAGGGACAACAGGUUUUUCCUAUUUUCUAUCAUGUAGAGCCGUCUGAAGUCAGGAACCAGACUGGGAUUUAUGGAGAAGCAUUUAACAAUCACGAAAGAAAUGCAGACGAGGAGAAGAAGAAGAAGAAGAUAGAGCAGUGGCGGACUGCCUUAAGGAAAGCUGGUAAUUUGAGUGGAUUUCCUCUGCAGGAUAGGUAAUCCCUACUUCACUUUUUCCAUUCCCAAUUUUCUGUCAGUUUAUUUUCAUUCUUGUUAAUAAAUAAAAUAUUUAUGAUUACAUUUAUCAAUCAAAAUCCAUUUUUAAGUAGUAGACAUUAAUAUGUUCGAUUUCUUGGAAAGUAAUAAGAAAGAGUAAAAAAAAAUAAUAAUAAUAAUAAUAAAUGAUUUUCUCACAUUUAAUUUAUUAUUAAAAUUAUAAAAGGAAAUCAAAUAUAAUUAAAAUAUAUCAGAAAAAAUUAUAUUUGCCCAGCAGAUGGAAAUGCCAAGUUUUGAAUUGUUAAAAAUCUUUAAGAUUCCAAAAUAUUCUUCCUUUCUAAUCGAUCCAUCUCAGCCAUAAUUUCUAUCAAUUAAAAAAAAAUGGUAGUCUGUCAAAUAAAUUGUUAAAAUUGGUUAUUUAUAUGCCUUGUAAAUUUGGAGAUAAUCUGAGAUGAUUAUUUAAAAUAUUGUAAUACUACCCUAAAUUUUGUUGGACCUCUUAUGAGACAAAAAACUUAGUUAUUGCACCCUUAACCUUUUUCAAUUUUAGAGGAAUUUUCUAUUACUUAAAUAAUUUUCUCAUGUUCUCUAUGCACUACAUGAGUUUACAUUUCUUCUUUACUUAAUAUUGUUUGUUCCUCUAUAUUUGCAAGUUGAUUAUUAAAUUUAUUUACCUUUUAAUCUAAUGUUUGUAUCUCGUUUUAUUCUAAUUAUCCCAUGACUCUUCUUAAGACCUUGUCUUUCACGUUGAAUCAUCUAAUGCUAAACUUAUUCCCUUGCUAUUCUACUUUGUGUACUCAUGGGAUUAAUAUAUUGAAAUUGAAAUUGUUUUUUUUUUCUCUCUCUUUUUCUCUUGUAUGUUCUACAUUCUUCUAUGCCUCAAUUACAAAUAAAAGCAAGCAACCUUAGAGCUUGUUUGACUUGAAACUAAUGUUCAAAAAAUAGUUUUCCCCAACCCAAUGUUGAAAAUAAUGAACAAAAUUUUAUUUGAAAAUUCAAAUAUGAAAAAAGUCUUUCUCAACUUAUGAACUAUGAAGGUAUUAUAAAUUUAUGUACAAUAUAACUUUUUCUAAGUAUUAUCUAUAUUUUCAUUUCUUUAUCACAAUACUCUAUAAGAAAAUACUUAUAAUCAUCUCAAAUAUGCUCUUAAAAAUGAACUUGUUUACCGAAAAAAAUUUUGAAAAAAAUUUUUAGUAAAAAAAAAUAAAAUAUAUAUUUAAGUUAUUAAACUAUUUUAUAUUCUAGAGAAAAAAAAAUCCAUUUUCAAAAACAAUAUCAAUACAUGCAUUUUUCUUUUAAGUAUCAUUUAAAAAUCUUUUUCCACAAGUCUAAUUGUUGCUAGGCUUUUGACCAACAAACAAACACGUGUCACUUUCCUUGUCAUUCUAAUUUAUAUUUGGAAAAAAAAUGGGGAUUUCAUCAAAAUAUGAAACUUACGUAGCAAUUAUUAACAACCUAAAUAUAAAUAGAAGUACAACUAAAAUGUACUUGUUUACAAAAUAAAUAGUUGAAAGUCUUAUAAGUAUAGAGGAUGGUCAUAAGUCAUGCUAUAAUUAAUAAAAGCAUUGCUAGGUUACAGAACUUGGGUGACAAAUUGGUAGAUUUCUAGCCAAACUAGUAUUGGUCUCUAUAAUAAAAUCUCUUAUCAUAAAAGAUAACGAUACAUUAGAAAGGUCAACUUCAAUUUGGACCUUUAGAAGCAAUUGAGGUAUUUACAUUGUUUUAUUGCACAUAUACUUGACUUAAAACAAUGAAAUUUUAUUCAAACAUGCGACUCAAUACAUUUUUAAUUUACAUUCUAUUUGACCUUAAUUUAGUUGCAUUGAAUGGAGCUAAACACCAUUCUAUAAUUUCCAUUUACUUCAUCUUAGUUUUCUUUGGCAAUUGAUUCUAACUCACUGCAUGUUUUAUUGUACUUUAUAAUGGACAGAUCUGAGGCAGAGUUUAUUGAAGAUAUCAUUGGUGAGAUUAGAAGAUUGAUUCCUAAGUUGGUAGAUGUUGGUAAGAACAUGGUUGGAAUGGAUGGAAAUUUGAAACAAGUGAAGUCAUUGAUAGAUGCCCAAUCAAAUGAAGUGAGCAUGGUUGGGAUUUAUGGGAUUGGUGGGAUUGGUAAAACUACCAUCGCCAAGGUUGUUUACAAUGAUAUGUUAUAUAAAUUUAAACGUCACAGCUUUCUUGAAAAUGUGAGAGAGAAAUCUAAAGGUGGUCGUGGUUUACUUGAAUUACAAGAAAAACUUCUUUGUGAUAUCCUAAUGGAGAAAAAUCUGGAGUUAAGGAAUAUUGAUAAAGGAAUUGAAAAGAUAAAGAGUGAGUGUUGCUUUGAAAAGGUUCUUAUUGUUCUUGAUGAUGUAGAUUGCCCAAGACAAUUAGAAUUCUUAGCUCCUAAUUCUGACUGUUUUCAUCGAGGAAGCAUAAUCAUUGUGACCACGAGAAAUAAACGUUGCCUAAAUGUAUAUGAGUCGUAUUCAUCAUAUGAGGCUAAGGGAUUAGCACGUGAGCAAGCUAAGGAACUCUUUUGUUGGAAUGCCUUUCGAAAACACCAUCCAAAAGACAAUUAUGUGGACCUCUCUAAUCGUAUACUGGAUUAUGCUAAAGGCCUUCCAUUGGCUCUUGUAGUUUUGGGUUCUUUUCUCUUUCAAAGGGAUGUGGAUGAAUGGGAAAGCACAUUGGAUAAACUCAAAACAAACCCUCUCGAAGAUAUUCAAAAGGUACUCCAGAUAAGUUAUGAUGGACUAGAUGAUAAAUGCAAAAAGUUGUUUCUUGAUAUUGCAUGCUUCUUCAAAUAUAAGGAUGAAAAAUUUGUUACAAGAAUACUAGAAGGUUGCAAAUUCCAUCCCAAGAUUGGACUAAGAGUUCUUGAUGAGAGAUGUCUUAUCUCUAUAACGUACGGCACUAUAAGGAUGCAUGACUUGUUACAAGAAAUGGGUUGGGCAAUUGUUCGCCAAAUUGAUCCAGAAUGUCCUGGAAAAUGGAGCAGAUUGUGGGAAUUACAAGAUAUUGAAAGUGUAUUUACCCGAAAUAAGGUAAGAGAAAAAUACAUGAAUAUACUUGAGACCUAAAGACAUAAAAGAUUCAACAAGAUUUAUUUUUAUUAUUAUUAUAGUCUGAGUACCUUAUCUAUAUAAUUUUAUCGAAUCCCUAUGCAUCUUAUACUACUUUUUCUCAAUGCUUGUUUUCAGGGGACAAAAAACAUUGAGGGGAUAUUCAUAAAUCGGUCUUGGGAUACAAAAAAACGUAUACAACUUACUGCUGAAGCUUUCAGAAAGAUGAAUCGACUUAGAUUGCUCAUAGUUAAAGGCAAUAUGGUGCAGCUUUCCCAAGACUUUGAAUUGCCUUGUCAUGAUUUAGUAUAUUUUCAUUGGGAUAACUACCCUUUGGAAUAUUUGCCAUCAAAUUUUCAUGUAGAAAAUCUUGUUGAACUUAACCUCUGGUACAGCAACAUAGAACAUCUUUGGGAAGGAAACAUGGUAUUGCUAUUAUUUAGUUAUAUUUUUGCUCUAGACUAAUUUUAAAGUCUUUUGAAGUUUACUUAUUGAAACGAAUUUUCUUCUGUUACAGACUGCUAGAAAGUUAAAGGUCAUUAAUCUCAGUUAUUCCAUGCAUCUGGUUGGUAUUUCAAGCAUCUCAAGUGCACCAAAUUUGGAGAUUCUAAUUCUAAAAGGUUGUACAAGGUUACUUACUUGUUUCACCCAUGCUUAAUGUUAUUAUUAGUCAUGAGCUAACUGUUUUCUUGAAUAUAAUAGGAUGCAAGAGACUUGAGAGUCUUCCAAGGAACUUUCAUAAGCUGGAAUGCCUUCAAACACUCUCUUGUGAUGGCUGUUCAAACUUAAAAAGUUUUCCGAAGAUCGAGGAAGAAAUGAGAAGUCUAAGAAAGCUUCAUUUAAGUCAUACAGGUAUAAUGGAAUUACCAUCAUCAAUUAGCAAUCUAAAUGGGCUUGAAAAGUUGGACUUAGGUUAUUGCAAAAACCUUUUGAGUCUUCCGGACAGUAUUUUUAGUUUGAGUUCUCUUCAAACUCUGAAUCUAUUUGAGUGUUCAAAACUAGUGGGCUUUCCGGGUAUCAAUAUUGGAAGUCUAAAAGCUCUUGAAUAUUUGGAUUUGUCAUAUUGUGAGAACAUUGAGAGUCUUCCGAACAAUAUUGGUAGUUUUAGCUCUCUUCAUACUCUUUCAUUGAUGGGGUGUUCAAAACUGAAGGGCUUUCCAGAUAUCAAUAUUGGUAGUUUUAGCUCUCUUCAUACUCUUUCAUUGAUGGGGUGUUCAAAACUGAAGGGCUUUCCAGAUAUCAAUAUUGGAAGUCUAAAAGCUCUUCAAUUGUUAGAUUUCUCACGUUGCAGAAACCUUGAGAGUCUUCCGAACAAUAUUGGUAGUUUGAGCUCUCUUCAUACUCUUUUAUUGGUAGGGUGUUCAAAAUUGAAGGGCUUUCCAGAUAUCAAUUUUGGAAGUCUAAAAGCUCUUCAAUUGUUAGAUUUCUCACGUUGCAGAAACCUUGAGAGUCUUCCCAUGAGCAUUUACAAUUUGAGCUCUCUCAAAACAUUGAGGAUUACAAAUUGUCCAAAACUCGAGGAAAUGUUAGAGAUUGAAUUAGGGGUUGAUUGGCCACUUCCACCUACAACCAGUCACAUUUCAAAUUCAGCAAUAAUCUGGUAUGAUGGCUGCUUUUCCUCAUUAGAAGCAUUAAAACAAAAGUGCCCCCUGUCAUCACUGGUAGAAUUAUCUGUAAGAAAGUUUUAUGGCAUGGAAAAAGACAUCCUCAGUGGCAGUUUCCACCUAUCCUCAUUGAAAAUAUUAUCUCUAGGGAACUUCCCUAGCAUGGCAGGAGGAAUCCUCGAUAAGAUUUUCCAUCUAUCUUCAUUGGUAAAAUUAUCUCUUACUAAAUGCAAGCCAACGGAAGAAGGAAUCCCCAGUGAUAUUCGGAACCUAUCUCCACUGCAACAAUUAUCUCUACAUGACUGCAAUCUAAUGGAAGGAAAGAUCCUCAAUCAUAUUUGCCAUCUAACAUCCUUGGAAGAAUUACAUCUGGGUUGGAACCAUUUUAGUAGCAUUCCUGCUGGCAUCAGUCGACUUUCCAAUCUAAAAGCCCUUGACUUGAGUCACUGCAAGAACCUUCAACAAAUUCCAGAGCUUCCAUCAAGUCUACGAUUUUUAGAUGCGCACUGUUCGGAUCGUAUUUCAUCAAGCCCCUCGCUUCUACCUAUUCAUUCUAUGGUCAAUUGCUUCAAAUCAGAAAUUGAGGUAUGAUUCUCAUGCCACGUUCCUUUUUCUUUCGUACCCAUUGGAUUUACAUGGUGCUUUUGUGCAGGACUGCGUGGUUAUUCAUCGUUAUUCUUCCUUCUGGGGCAAUGGAAUUGGUAUUGUUAUUCCUAGAAGUAGUGGAAUUCUAGAGUGGAUAACGUAUCGGAAUAUGGGAGGGCAUAAAGUAACAAUAGAGCUCCCUCCGAAUUGGUAUGAAAAUGAUGACUUGUGGGGAUUUGCUUUAUGCUGUGUUUAUGUUGCACCUGCCUGUGAAUCUGAGGAUGAAUCUCAGUAUGAAUCAGGUCUUAUAUCUGAGGAUGACAGUGACCUUGAAGAUGAAGAAGCAAGCUUUUAUUGUGAAUUGACAAUCGAAGGAAAUAAUCAAUCAGAAGACGUGGCUGGUUUCGUUCUUGAUUUUCGCUGUGUUAAGGAUGAUGUAUCAGAUAUGCAGUGGGUGAUAUGUUAUCCCAAGUUAGCUAUUGAGAAAAGUUAUCACACCAAUCAAUGGACACACUUCAAGGCUUCAUUUGGUGGGGCCCAAGUGGCAGAGUGCGGAAUCCGUCUGGUAUACACAAAAGAUUAUGAACAGAAACAUCCAACAAUGGCACAAGGCAGUACUUCUCAUGGGAAUUUUGGUGAGCAUGGAUCAGUAAGAGAAGAUGGCAGUACUUCUCAUGGGAAGUUUGGUGACCAUAGAUUAGUAAGAGAAGCUUUACUACUCUAAAGAUACUAAUAGUAAAGAUCACAAUAAAAGGAAUCCCACAGAACAGAGCCCAGGAGAGGAGUCACGUACACCAUAAAAGAUUCAGAGAAACCCAAGACUGAUCCCAAGCAUUAGGCUCAACCACACUUGCAUCAAUAAUGUUCUCUUCCUGGUAAUUCAUCUUCUUUUCUCUUUCAAAUUCAAAGGUCAGAAAUUUUUUUAUCAUGUUUCUCCUUUUUAUUUGUUUUUUCCCCAAGACAAACAAAAAUUUGUGGCUAUCAUCCAUGGGUGCAAACUUCAAUGGUACACCUCCCAAGUUUGUUUUUCUCUCUCUCCAACCGUCUCUCCCUAGAUUUUUCUGCAUUUUCUUCAAACUCAUAUUUCUAUAUGAAAUUCAAUUACAUUCGAGCAUUUCAAUCUCUGUAGCUAAUGUCUGAAUCAUUUCUAGGGUUUCUUUUUUCUGGAAGUUUGUAAUGUUAUUGAUUUAUGACUUGAUGUUUGGGGAUGUUUUGGGUGGCUUGUUCACUUUUUUAUAGCGAUGAUUUAUGGAACCAGAGUUUCUUAGCAGGAAAUGGAACUCGUGUGUUUUAGAAUAUUGGCGUUAUUUGCUUGUGCCCUGUUUGGUUGCUGAGAAAGAGUGGAAGGAGGAUGGAGAAUUAAAUAAUUUUCAAUCUAAGCAAUGAGAAAUUAGAUUUGGGUAUUUGGGCCAUUGGAGUUAUUUGCUCUUACUCAGUUUGGUUUCCAGGAAACUGCAGGCAAAGCAUGGAAAAUAAAGUAUUUUUAAAUUAAUUACCAGGAAAUGGAAUGUACGUAUUUGUCUCUUUGGAAUAUAAACAUCAGUAUUCACUCUUCAAGAAUGUAUAUGGUUGUUGUUUUGGAAUUUUGAAAUUACUUAGCAUCAGACAAUUUCUAACUUGGGAUUUGGAUUGGGAAUCAUAAGUAAUCAUUAGAGAGUAUAUGAGAAGGAGUUUUAGAGUAAGACAGGGUGAUGCAUGUUGAGGGAUGCGUCUCACCCUGGAGUUCUUUGGAAUAAUUAUAGGAUUUUGUAAGUAACUUUGGACUUAUUAGCAAUGUUCUGGAUUUGUGAAUAAUUUAUAGAAUACAUUGGGUGUUUUUUUUUUUUUUUUUUUUUGAGAGUGAAUAAUGUAUGACUGUACUCUUCUCUAUCUCUGUGGUAUGGCACACGUAUGAUUUGGUGCUUUUUUGCAGGCCUUCAACAGCAGCAAAGCAUCUGGUGGCUUGCAGUACUAAUCUUGCAUUAUAUUCUCUGUUUUGCAAUCAUUUGGUACUGUUUGUCCCAACCAAGGAUAGCUCUGUGCAAGCAGUCUCGACUGUGGAACAAGUAAAACAAAUGGUACCUGCUGAAGCUGAGAGGGCAGAUGAUAAGCUGGUGCGGAAGGUGGUCAACCAAAAGAAUCAGACAGCAAAAACUAAAAAGCCCAUCAAGCCUGCUACUGAAGCAGCCUCAGCACCUGUUUCUGGGAGGGGUGAGAUUGAAGUGACUGAAGAAAAGGAGCAUGAGCAAACAAAGAAGGAAGAGGAGUUGGCCAGGAAGGUAGAGGAAUUGAGAAGUGAAGAAGAAGCAGCCAUGUUGAAGGAGAGAAAGCCAACGUUAAGGAGGCACUGGAAAGGAAACAAGGAACUGCAGAAAAGGCCAAUUUCUCUGUGAGUGCUGCCACCUUUUCAUAAUAAUGGAUGUUAAAAGCAGUCUAACUCUACAUGGCGUUUAUUUUCCCCAGCCAUGGAUUGGAAUCUGCCAGUCUAACUCUCAUAAGAAACAAAAUUUUCCAUCCUCAUAUGGAUUAUUGGAGAAGAUUUUAACAUGGAGUUCACUAGAGAGUUUCUAACACCCACUCAAAAAGGACAUUUUAGAGAACUUAUUGAAAAGUUACAUCAGAGUACAUAAAUUUUUAGAUAUUUUUAAAAAUAUCUGAAAAAUUAAAUUAACUAAAAGUAUUUGAAAAAUAUUUGAUUGAAUUAAUAAAUAACUAGUAUUUGCAUAUGAAAAAAUAGUAAACAUAGUCAAUAAUUUUUUUUUUAAUAAUUAGCACAUAAUAAUCAUAAAUUAAUUUAUGGCAAGACCUCAUAUUUGUUGUGGUGACUGUGUUGUCUUACCAUUCUUCUUUCAUGAUGGGCUUAAAUUUUAAUUUAAAUGUAGUAUAAAUAUAUAAUUAGAUUGAUAUUUCGUCCACUAGAAUUGAUUGGGUCUGAAUUUGAACCCUGGUCUUGAAUUUCUUGGCCCAACCAACGAAAUCAUUGACCAACGGCCCUUAGUUUGGGCUGGGCUUGAUGGUCCUCAGGUUAUGCAGGCUUAAUACUGAUUGGGUUUGGGCUUCCAUGCAGUUGUACUUGGAUUCUAUGUUUCCUAAUAUUAACACUAAAAUUAGGUUUAAUUUAUUAACACUAAAUUAGGUUUCAUUUAUAAUUAAAUAUAAUUAGUUUGAGAAUAACUCCAAUCUUUAGUUAAACCAACUAAGUUUUAUGCAAAGGUUUAUAUUCCUAAUACCAUUGAAAAACUAAAUUUAUGUGGAAGUUUGACUGAUACCAACAUUAAAUUAUUAAGAUAAAUUGAAAAAAAAAAAAUCAUGCUCGUAUGUCCUGUUGUUUGUCAUAAGAAAAUUUCUUUUCAGAUUUUUUUUUUCUUUUAAUACAUCUUUACAUUUUUAAUAACAAUCCAUAGGAUUGUUCCCAAACAUAUAUCAUAUAAAUAUAUCUUUUUUGGAUUUUUAAGAAUGUUGUCAAACAAACUCAUAAUACCAUUCUUUCUUUACAAUUACCAAUCCAUAUGAUGAAUUUAUUCCUUUCAAUAACUGACAUCAUCUAAUAAAAAUUAUAAUUAGGUAUUAUAUUUAAAAAGUGUUUAAUAAAUCAAUUUAAUAACUUAAGUGAUUUAAUAACUUAAUUUAAAUUAUUAAAAUAAUUUGAUGUCACAAUUUAAAGUUAAAAUUGAUUUAAUUAAUUUUUAUUUAAAUUUAAAACUAUGUUUACAAAAAAGGCUUAAAAUUCAUAUCAAUUAAGAAAUUAAGUUAUUAAGUUACUUUAAGUCAUUAAAUUAAUCUACCAAUUAAACACCCUUUAAGAUAUGAUAUAAAGUUCACCUCCUACAUAUCAUGAAAAUUAAAAAUUAAUUACCACAUCAAGAAUCUUUAGUUCCUAAUCGAUUUAAUAUUUAAUCCUUGGUUGUGAAUUUCUUUAUAUAUGUAGAUAUAUUUUUAUAUUGCAAGUGGGCUGCCGACUUUUCAUUUUAUACUAGUUUUGAAAAUAAGAUUGUAGUUUUUAUUUUGUCCAAAUCUAAUUUGGAGGGAGAAUCUUUAGAGGCUAUUUUAUAUUCAAAUAGGAAAAUUUUAAAUUUAAUAGUCCCACCUUAUAAAGGCAAAUAUCUUGGACCCUACAUGGGUGCCUCUUACAUGCAUGCACGAGGACAAAGACUUAUUGAAAGCCUCUCUCAUUCACAUGGAUGCCAUCAUUCAUCGAAGUUGAAACAUGAAACCCACACAAAAUAUUUGGGCAAAAGCAACUUCAAUAUUUUUUUUCAUUACUAUAGCUGAGAAUCUCAAUAUUAUUAAAUAGUAAUAAAAUUAAUUUUAAUAUUUUUUUUCUUAUUUUUUCCUCCUUGUGGUUAUAUUUUCAUCCGGAAAGUAUUAAAUAUUAAAAAAGAAUAAAAUUUAAAAAUUAAUUUUUCAUAUUUAAUUAUAUUGUGAAAAAUAUAAAAUAAAAUAUAAUAUAAUUAAAAUUAGUUAAAAUUUUAUAUUUUUAUAAAAUUAUUUAACUUUUUUAUAAAAAUUUAAAAUAAGUGACAUGAGUUUGAAAUAGUAUACAUAUUGACUUUAAAUUUAAUUUUUAUAUUUUUCAUUUUUCUUUUUAACUAUUCUUCUUUCUUCUCUUUCUCUCAACUUUUCCUUCAAAUUUUCCAAUAACCAAACAUAACCUAUUUGUUUCAUAAAAACUCUUUUACCUUUUUAAAUUUUUAAAAGAGUUGCUUACAUAAUAUGGAGCUAAUAGUAUUACUUGUACCUAUUAAUUUCUUUUAAGAUUAAAUUGUUCUAACUUUGUGUGAUAAAAAGUUUGUAAAGUCCAAUUUUACGAAAGAAAAUAUAUGAUUAGUGACUCCCUUGCAUUUCCUUUGGGAUUCACCCCUUCAUACUUACCGUAAAUAGUUGUACCAAUUAAUCAAACAAAAAACAUAGCAUGUAAAUAGUAAUAUGUUAAAGUUUUCUAUCGUGCCUAAGUUUAAUUAGUUCUACUUAUUUAUAUAUUGAAAUGAAAGUAAGCAUAUAUUUAAGUGGUCCAUCAAAUUUGAAACUAAUCUAUUGUAAUUACAUUCAUGUCUAUAUCAUUUAUAUUGUACAUAACUUGAGUACAUUAAAAAUUGUACAAAAAAUCCAAAUUACAAGGAAGUUUAUAUAAACUCUCUUAGGAUUAGACACUGUUAGUCAUUGCCUUCUAAAAAGCUUUCAUCUCUUUCUCCCUCAAGAGGUUUGUAGUCACUUUACACAAGUGUCAAAACUCAAAAGAGUGAUCUAAUGAAGAUGACGAGGUGAUUGAGAUCCUUUUCAUAAACUGGAGUUUGAUAUGGGAACAUUCAUAUCGAAGGUAAAAAUUUUUAUCAGCAACUAGACUUACUUUUAUCUUUCCUUAUAAUUAAACCCAAUAAUCCUAGGUUGUUAGAGACCACACACCUAUGAUCCAAGGGUUUUCCCAACAAGGAUAUCAAUAAAUCUUUCUACUCUAUUGAUGGCAUCUUGAAUUCUUUCAAAUUAAUCACUUCAUUGUAAUCGUUAUUCACUAAAUCCCAUAAAUCUUGAGAUCUAAACAUGACAUUCAUAUGAAUGCAUCAAUUAUUAUAAUUCUUACUUAUGAAUUUUGAAAGUUGAGAUUCAAUUGAGUUAUUAUUUACCAUCAUUACUUUAACAACCAAAUUGCAAAUUUCUUUAUACUAUUCACAUUCUCUGGCAGCCUUUGACCUUCCCUAAUCUUUAGCCUCUAGCUAAUACCACUUGUUUGAGCUCCCAUAAUUGGGCAGCAUUGACAAUAAUUUACUAAAAUAACAUUUUAUUCUAUCCUACUCUCUCUUUGUCAACAUAAUAAUAAACCUCUAUUUAAAAUAAGUUGAUCAUAUUUGCAUUAUCACUCUAAUUCAUAAUUAGAUUGGGAAACCUAAUUAAUAUCAAAUAAAUAACCAUUCCUAAUAUUUCUCAAAUUUAUAAAAUUCUUCUAAUUUGACUUUAAAUUGAUUUUUUAUUUUGACUAUAUAGCUUAAAAAGGAUAAUUUUUUAAAUAAUUAUCAAUUUCAUAUAAUCUUUAUAAGCAUUUGUGUUCAUAAAUUCCUUAUUAUGAUAUUAGGUUUUAGACAAUUUGACAAUAUGAUGAUGUUUUGGAAUGAAUGUUAAGUGAAUCCGUUUUACUCAAAACCAUUAAAUAAAAAAAAAAGACAGUUACACAAGUAAAAUAGUAGAUUAUUGAAGGCCAGGAGAAAAGAAGAGGAAAAUGAAAUAUUAUAUCCCUAUAAUGAGUUAGGUGGAUAUUUCAUGUGAAAAGUUUAAUGUGCAAGGUUGUUCAUGUCUAUUGAGUUUUGGGUAAUCAUUUUUUCAUGGAAAUUUUUUAUGGAAUCCUAAUCUUAGAAAGCAAUAGGAAAUUUUUUUACCAAGAUUUCUAAGAAAUAACUACAUCAAAGUGUAAGAAAAGUAUCAAACUAGAAUAUCUAAGAAAUUACUACAUCAAAGUGUAAUAGAAACAUCAAAUUAGAAAGUGAAAUAUAAUACAAUUCAACUAUGAAAAUGAAGGACAAAGGAAUAGACUAAUUGCCAAAGGAAAAUAGUCUUUUAGUUUUAAUCAGAAAUUUCUUAUAUCAUAAUUAUGACCUGUAGAGGCCACAUGGGUUGUUGGCCUUGGAGUGACUAAAAGGUACAACUAAAAAACGUCAAACAUUUGGAGAACUAAAAGAAAACAUGGAUAAAAUUUUUUUACCUAGAACAUUUAUAUAGAAAUAUUUUAUUUUUUAUUUUUAAAAAAUUAGUAAAGGUAGUAAAGUUUUUUAAAGAUUAUUUUGCGCCCUAAAAACAAAUCGUAAAGGCUUGUUAAAGAUUAUUUUGGAUAUGUUUCAUGCAUUAAUUUUUUUUAACAUUUCAAAUUUUUAAAUGAUUUUUAAAAGUUAUUACCUUUUAAAAUGUAAAUCUCAUAGAGUAUUUGCAUUAUAUAGGAAUUACUAUCAUUUUUAUUUUUUUUAAAAAAGAGAAAUGUAUUCAAAUAAUACCUUAAUUUUUCAUUUUCUAGUAUAAGGAAAUGAUUAUAUCUCACACAAACCUUGUUCAGAUACAUAUUUCAAAGUGAGAAAAAAAAAAUUCUUUUAGAGAAAAGAAGUCCUUCAAAAAGAAGAAAAAAAAAGGUUUUUCAAAGAAGAGUUAGAAGGAAAAGUGAAUUCAAUCUUAUAAUCAGCUAACAUGAUGUUGUUUGAUUACAUUUUUUAUUUUCUAUUUUUACAAAUAAAAUAUAAUAAUAACUCCUAUAUGAAAUAUAGAACUCUUUCAAACUUACUUUAAAAACAUAAUAAUAUUUAAAAAUUAAGAUAAAUUGUGAUAUUAAAAAAAAAAUUACUUCUUCAAAUUUUAAAAAUUAUGAAAAUAAAUUUUUAAUGACAUAAGAUAAGUCUAUAAAUUUUACAUAAAAGUUAUUAUAUUUUAUAUAGAAACUAUUACUAUUUUCUAUUUGUAAAAAUACAAAAUAAAAAAUAUAUCCAAGCAAGUACUAUGAGAAAUAGUUUCUAACAUUUCUUAUUAAGAAAAUGAGAAUAUUAAGAAGUAUAUUCCUACUACAUUGUUUUUUUUUUUAAUUUGAUAUCAACCCAUUCUAUUAGCUCUUUUGAGAAAUAUAGAAAAAUAACAUUACAUAAUUGCAUAGAACAAGAAUAUUAUUUAAGUUUGAGGCAAGUGUUAAAAAGAUAUUGUAAUUCUGUUACGUUGUUUAACUUCAAUGUCCUAUAUGUAACUGUUAGGAAUUUGAGGCUAAUCCAAACUAUAGUAAUCACCCUAGAGGGAGGGGGGGGGGGGGGGUAAAUAGGGUGAUGAUCUCUUUUUCACAAAUCUAAACUAUGCAAAAAUAAGAGACAAUUAUAUGUAAAUAUAUAAUAAACACAAUUACAUAUAAUUUAAAAAAUUUGGGAAAAAAAAGUGCAAAACCGAAAACUUAUAAUGGGUCGACACUUCCUUGGCCACCUUCCCUCUCCUUAAACCCCUAAACGAAUGAGGGUUCCCCUAUUUUGAAGCUUCCACCAAGCUUCCAAACCCUUUACAAAUGGAUUAAGGUUUCCAAUCCCCCUUUUGNNNNNNNNNNNNNNNNNNNNNNNNNNNNNNNNNNNNNNNNNNNNNNNNNNNNNNNNNNNNNNNNNNNNNNNNNNNNNNNNNNNNNNNNNNNNNNNNNNNNAGAGAGUGCAAACACGAGAGCUUAUAGUGGUUCGACACUUCCUUGCCUACGUCCACUCUCCUCAACCUCCUAACCGAGUGAGGGUUCCACUAUCUUGAAGCUUCAACCAAGCUUCCAAUCUCUUUACAAUUGGAUUAUGGUUCCAAUUCACCCUUUUGGACUUUUGGCUCCAAGCACCCUUUACACUUCUCAAAAGUUAUCCCACUCUUGAACAACCUCUCAAGUGAUACCCCUCACUUGAGAAAAUUCCUCUCAAAGAUAUACAAAGAUUGAUCUCACAAAAAUUGUAGUAAUAGAACUUUAAGCUCAAAUGAUACAAGAGAAACUAGGAUUGAAUGGUGCACUAAAGAUAUGCAAGUUUUGGAAUAAUGGUGCACUCAAAAAUACUCUUCCAAGGCUCAAAUAUAAUCAAGAAAGAUUUGGGAAGGUUUAGCUUAUCAAACAACGAAGUUUGGAGCCUUUUUAUAGAAGAAAAAAGUCAUACUAGCCGUUGGGGGUUUGAUCGGUCGAGCUAAGGGUCGACUGGUUGACUAACCAUUAGGAAAAGUGACUGUUGAGCCUCAACCGGACCUCAACCGGUUGAGGUUCAACCUUGACCGGGAAGAGAAGGCCACUAGGAGAGAGAGAAAGUUUUUGGCCUCCCUCAACCGGUCCUCGACCGGACGAGCACAACCAAUCGACCAGUUGAACCGGUUGAGCCAUUUUUUUGGCUCAACACUCAACAUUUUUCAACUUAAAACCUUUUAACACAAAUUUGAAAAUCAUUUAACACAAGGUUUUAGUUGAAAACAUUAAAUCAUCCAAUUCUUAAGAUAUUUAAAACAAUAUUACUCUUGGAUAAUUUUGGUGCAUAAAUAAAUAAUGAAAUGCAUGAAAGUCCUAGUGCACCAACAACCUUACAAAGAGAUCCUAAGAAGCUUUGGUCUUGAAAAACUCUUCUCUUUGAGGUGGUCUUCUUUUUCAUGAUUUCUCCUUGACUUGAUUUGUCUUUGGAUUGCCACUUUGGAAGUCGUCUUGCCUAAUCACACUUGAAAUAUGAUCAUUAGUUCUAAACCUUGUUUUGUUAUCAUCAAAAUCAAGAUUAACCAAACCUUGGUUUCACAGUAACGACUUGUUCCCAACCAUAUAGAUAUUGUCCGCUUUGGACCCAAAUGGGCCCUCACGGUUUUUAAAACUCGUCUACUUGGUUAAGAGGAACUUCUACAUAUAUAGCGUCAGACUUUCCCCCCUAUCCGAUGUGGGAUGUCACAAACACCCCCCUCCCCCCCUCCAUGUAGACACAACGUCCUCGUUGUGUCCCAUGGGAUUGUAGGGUUAAAUAGACAAACACCCCUUAUGAGGUCAAACAAACCCCAACACCGGGGUCGGGGAUCGACUCUGAUACCAUUUAUCAGAAUCCGUACUCAAUUAUAUAUAUAUUGUCCGCUUUGGACCCAAAAGGGCCCUCACGACUUUAAAACGCGUAUACUUGGUUAAGAGGAGUCUCUACACAUAUAGCACCAAGAACUUUUCCCCCUAUCCAAUAUGGGAUGUCACACUAUAUAUGUGUAACAAUUUUUCUUUAAAAAAAUUAGAGGACUUAAAAUGGGCUCUUGUCAACCUUAUUGAUAUUUGAUGUCAAAGGGAUACAACCAACCACCACAAAUAAUUGAGAGAAAAGAAAGGAAAUAAUAAUAAGAGGUAGGCCCCGGGCUCUUGUGAACCUUAUUGAUAUUUGAUACCAAAGGGAUACAACCAACUCCCACAUUUAAUUAAGAGAAAAGAUUGGGAUAUCCUCACCACCAUGUCUAGAUUGCUUUAGUAGGACCAAGAGAAGUCAUUCAGCAUCCAAAGAUCCUCUUCUUCUUCUUCUUCUUUUAAUUCUAAAUGGAGGGACAAUGUGUUCUUGAGUUUCAAAGGUGAAAAUACUCACAAAAGCUUUACUAAUCAUUUCUACUGUAUAUCUUUACUUGUAAUAAAUGUAUAAGAUAUUUGUAUUAACUGUAUAAAACAUGUACAGACCUGUAUAUCUUGAAUUUAUUAAUAUGUUUUUCUUCAUUUUCUUUGUUUUCCAUACCAAAAUACUAAAAAAAUUAUUUACAUAAUUUUUUCUUUUCACAUUUUCAUAUGUAUACAAGACACUUAUACUAAAUGUACAAGAUAUUUUCAUAUUUUGACUAAUGCCUAUACAAAUAUGCAAAUAUAUUGACAAUAGGCAAACUCAUACUAGUCUUGUAUAGUUAUGACAAAUGUCUUAUACAUUUAGGGUGUGUAUACAAUGUUUUCUAAUUCUUUGUAUAGUUAAUACAAAUGUCAUAUAUAUUUUUGAAAAUGUAAAAAAAAAAAAAAGAAGUUAUAUUUGACAUUUACACAUUAUAUAUAAACAAUAUUUCAAUUUAAUAUGGAAAAUGAAAAAAAUGCAAAUAGAUAUAUGUGAAGGGUAAAAAGAGUAUUUUUGUUCGUAAAAUUUCAUGUACUUAAACAUGAAGUAUGCAUCUUUUCACAGAUGUUGGCCAAAUUAUGAACCUCAAACACAAUUGUUUUAAAGAGAAAUGUGAAGAAAAAGAAUAUGAAUGGUAGUUGUAAGAAAAUUAAAAAAUAAAAUCAUUGACUCUUCACUCUACCAAACUAGGGAUGACAACGAGGCGAGUUUGGGAUGGGGCCUCGUUCCGUUUAACUUUUUUUUUUAAUUACUUAAAAUUUUUUUAAUUAUAUUAAAAUAAAUAUAUUUUAUAAAUAAUUAAAUUAUUAUAUUUUUAUAACUUAUUUUAUUAAAAAAUAUUUUUUUUAUUAUUUAUAUAUUAAAAAUAGUAAAAUUAAAAUUAAAAUUAAUUUAAUUUUAAAAAUUAAUUUUAUAUAUAAUAGGGGUGGAGCAAGAUAAGGCAAUAGCUGAAUCUGUCCUGGGUUUUAAAAAGAUUCCCAAACCUGUCCAAAACUCAUUUAGUUAAAAUUGAAACUCAUCCAAUUACGAGCGGGUAUCCGAAAAAACUUGUCCUAUUGUCAUCCCUAUACCCAACCACACUAUCAUCCAAUGAAUAAAACGAAAAUAACUAAAAUUAAGGAACAACCCAAGAAUCAAUGACUUCCUAGCAAGCCCAUCCAUAUCCCAACACGGACAAAAAUAUUUUAAUUUUUUUGCCUUAAAAAUCACGCAUGAAGCUUCCUAGAAAUUUCAUACUUCUUUGUCAUUAUCUAUAUUUUCUACUUCUUUUUCAUCGUCAAUAUUUGUGUAUAUAUAUAAAAUAAAACUUGCAAGAAAAUACAAAAAUGAUAGAUGGCAAAAUGGUUUUUAUGUUAAGAAGGUUCUAAAUUUUUCACACCUUUACAGUAUAAAAAAAAAAAAAAAAAAAAACUUUUUAAAUACAGAACUAUUUCGGACUUGAAUCAUUUUGAAAUUCAGAGACUUGAAAAGUGUUUGUUGGACUUGAAGGAGUUUGGAGUUAAUCUUGAACUUAGAUAUGUUUAGAAAUCAAAGUGGAUUUGAAGAAGAUUGAAAUCCACGACAUGACAACACUGUAAUAUGAAUAGUGUUUUGUCAAAAAAAAUUACUAUUUACUAUUUACUAGGGCAUAAAAGAAAAAUACAAAAUAAUACUCUAAAAAUGCGAAGGAAAGAUUGUUGGUCGUUGAAUAAGGGGAAAAAAAAGAAGAAAAGUAAAAUGUGAAAAAAAAAAGCUUCAAGAGUGCAAUUAAUAAUUGUGGUAGGCCCUGACUUUUGUCUUGUGAACCCGCCUAUUAUUGAAUGGAAAAGGGAUAUAGCCAACCAAAAUAAUUGAGAGUAAAGAAAGGAACACCUCACCACUAUGCUCCAAAUUGAGAGAAAAACAAAGUCAGCCGGCAUCCAAGGACAUUUUUAUUAAAAAAGUAAAGAAAAGAAAUGGUGCUUUAGCUAUUAUCAUAUCAACUCCUAGGAAAUAAAUGAAAAGAACAAGUAAAUGAAAAGAAACAAAAAAAAAAGUUCUUAGAAUGCAAAAAGAAGAUAUUGGAUAUUGAAUGCCCAAAAGAGAAAAAAAUAAAAUGGUAAGAUGUAAAGAAAAGAGUCAGAAAAGCUUCACAAUUGCAAUUAAUAAUUGAGGUACGACUUGGACUUUUGUGAACCCUCACUGUUAAUGCUAAAGGGUUACAGCUAAGGAAAGGAUAAAUGGGAGAGAAGAACAGGACAUCCUCACCACCAUCGUCUUAGCAUCAAAGACCCUCUUUUUUCUUCUUCCAAAUUCUGUUCUUGUAAUUUUGUUACAAUCCAACCAUGGCUUCCUCUAGCAAUUCUAAGAGACCCUUUUGUUCUUCUUCUUCUUCUAAUUCUAAAUGGAGGUACGAUGUGUUCUUGAGUUUCAGAGGCGAGGAUACCCGCAACAACUUUACUAGUCAUCUCUACAAGGAUUUGGAUAAGGCCAACAUUAAAACCUUUAAAGAUGAUGAAGAACUUCGAAAGGGAGGAGAGAUUGCACCCGAGCUCCUAAAAGCUAUUGAAGAAUCAAGGAUCGCCAUUAUCGUCUUCUCGAAAACCUAUGCUCAUUCCAAGUGGUGCUUGGAUGAACUCGUCAAGAUCAUGGAGUGCCAGAAAGAAAAGGGACAAAUAGUUUAUCCCGUUUUCUAUCACGUACGGCCGUGUGAAGUCAGGAACCAGUAUGGGACUUAUGGAGAAGAAUUUAAGAAACACGAGAGCAAUGCGGACGAGGAGAAGAAGAAGAAAAUAGGGGAGUGGAGGACUGCCUUAAGGAAAGCCGGUGAUUUGAGUGGAUUUAGUCUGCGGGAUAGGUAAUCCCUACUUCACUUUUUCCAUUUCCAAUUUUCUGUCAGUUUAUUUUCAUUCUUGUUAGUAAAUAAAAUAUUUAUGAUUACAUAUAUCAAUCAAAAUCCAGUUUUUAAGUAGUAGACAUUAAUAUGUUUGAUUUCUUGGAAAGUAAUAAGAAGAGUUAAAAAUAAAUAAAAAUAAAAAUUUAAAAAAUUUGAUUUUCUUAUAUUUAAUGUAUUAUUAAAAAAUAUGAAAGAAAAUAAAAAUAUAAUUAAAAUACAUUGUAAAAAUAUAUAUAAUUAGUUUAUAAUUAAAAUAAUCUUAGAAAAUCUAUAGUAGUUGUUCUGGGCUCAUUCAGGCCCAACAGGUAAUCCCUAUUUCACUUUUUCCAUUACCAAUUUUCUGUCGGUUUAUUUUCAUUCUUGUUAAUAAAUAAAAUAUUUAUGAUUACAUUUAUCAAUCAAAAUCCAUUUUUAAGUAGUAGACAUUAAUAUGUUUGAUUUCUUGGAAAGUAAUAAGAAAGAGUAAAAAAAAAAAUUGACUUUCUCACAUUUAAUUUAUUAUUAAAAUUAUAAAAGGAAAUCAAAUAUAAUUAAAAUAUAUCGAAAAAAAAAAUAUUUGCCUACAAUUGGGAUAAUAUUAGAAAAUCUAUAGUAGGUGUUGUGGGCUCAUUCAGGCCCAGGUAAUACUGGUAAAAAAAUAAAAUAAAAUAAUUAUGCCAAAUGCCAAGUUUUGAAUUGUUAAAAAUCUUUAAGAUUCCAAAAUAUUCUUCCUUUCUAAUCAAUCCAUCUCAGCCAUAAUUUCUAUCAAUUAAAUUGUUCAAAUUGGUUAUUUAUAUGCUUUGUAAAUUUGGAGAUAAUCUGAGAUGAUUAUUUAAAAUAUUGUAAUACUACCCUAAAUUUUUUUGGACCCUCUUAUGGGACAAAAAACUUAGUUAUUGCACCCUUAACCUUUUUCAAUUUUAGAGGAAUUUUCUAUUACUAAAAUAAUUUUCUCAUGUUCUCUGUGCACUACAUGAGUUUACAUUUCUUCUUUACUUAAUAUUGUUUGUUCCUCUAUAUUUGCAAGUUGAUUAUUAAAUUUAUUUACCUUUUAAUCUAAUGUUUGUAUCUCGUUUUAUUCUAAUUAUCCCAUGACAUCUGGAUAAUCUCUUCUUAAGACCUUGACAUGACAUAAUGAAAUUUUAUUUAAACAUGCAAUUCAACACAUUUUUAAUUUACAUUCUAUUUGACCUUAAUUUAAUUGCACCGAACUAAAGAUCAUUCUAUAAUUUCCAUUUACUUCAUCUUUGUUUUCUUUGACAAUUGAUUGUAGCUUACUCCAUGUUUUAUUGUACUUUAUAAUGGACAGAUCUGAGGCAGAGUUUAUUGAAGAAAUCAUUGGUGAGAUUCGAAGAUUAAUUCCUAAGUGGGUACAUGUUGGUGAGAAUAUUGUUGGAAUGGAUGAAAAUUUGAAAAAAGUGAAGUUAUUGAUAGAUGCCCAAUCAAAUAAAGUGAGUAUGGUUGGGAUUUAUGGGACUGGUGGGAUUGGUAAAACUACCAUCGCCAAGGUUGUUUACAAUGAUAUGUUAGAUCAAUUUAAAUGUCACAGCUUUCUUGAAAAUGUGAGAGAGAAAUAUGAAGAUAAAGGUGAUUUGCUUCAAUUACAAAAAGAACUUCUUUGUGAUAUCCUAAUGGAGAAAAAUCUGGUGUUAAGGAAUAUUGAUGAAGGAUUUAAAAAGAUAAAGAGUAAGCGUCACUCUGAAAAGGUUCUUAUUGUUCUUGAUGAUGUAGGUUGUGAAGAACAAUUAAAAUUCUUAGCUCCUAAUUCUGAAUGUUUUCAUCCAGGAAGCAUAAUCAUUGUGACCACGAGAAAUAAGCGUUGCCUAGAUGUAUAUGACUCGUAUUCAUCAUAUGAGGCUAAGAGAAUGGCAGACAAGCAAGCUGAGGAACUCUUUUGUUGGAAUGCCUUCAAGCAAGACCAUCCCAUAGAAAAUUUUGUGGGCCUCUCUAAUCGUAUACUGGAUUAUGCUGACGGCCUUCCAUUGGCUCUUGUAGUUUUGGGUUCUUUUCUCUUUCAAAGGCCUAUGGAUGAAUGGGAAAGCACAUUGGAUGAACUCAAAACAAUCCCUCCCGAGAAUAUUCAAAAGGUACUCCAGAUAAGUUAUGAUGGACUAAGUGAUGAACGCAAGAAGUUGUUUCUUUAUAUUGCAUGCUUCUUCAAAGAUGAGGAUGAAAAAAUGGCAACAAGAAUACUAGAAAGUUGCAAAUUACAUCCCGCUAUUGGACUAAGAGUUCUUCAUGAGAGGUGUCUUAUUUCUAUAGAGGACAACACUAUAAGGAUGCAUGACUUGUUACAAGAAAUGGGUUGGGCAAUUGUUUGCAAUGAUCCAGAACGUCCAGGAAAAUGGAGCAGAUUGUGCGAAUUACAGGAUAUUGAAAGUGUAUUAUCACAAAAUGAGGUAAGAGAAAAAUACAUGAACAUACUUGAGAUCUAAAGACAUAAAAGAUUCAACAAGAUUUAUUUUUAUUAUUAUUAUAGUUUGAGUAUAUUAUCUAUAUAAUUUUAGUGAAUCCCUAUGCAUCUUAUACUGCUCAUUCUCAAUCCUUGUUUUCAGUGGACAAAAAACAUUGAGGGGAUUUUCACAAGUCAGUCUCGCCAUACAGGAAAACAUAUACAACUUACUACUGAAGUUUUCAGAAAUAUGAAUCAACUUAGAUUGCUCAAAGUCGAAUUCAAUCAGAUCGUGCAGCUUUCCCAAGACUUUGAAUUGCCUUGUCAUGAUUUAGUAUAUUUUCAUUGGGAUUACUACCCUUUAGAAUAUUUGCCAUCAAAUUUUCAUACAGACAAUCUUGUUGAACUCAACCUCUGGUGUAGCCGCAUAAAACAUCUUUGGGAAGGAAAUAUGGUAUUGCUAUUAUUUAGUUAUAUUUUUGUUGUAGACUAAUUUUAAAGUCUUUUGAAGUUUACUUCUUGACACAAAUUUUCUUCUGUUACAGCCUGCUAAAAAGUUAAAAGUCAUUGAUCUUAGUUAUUCCAUGCAUCUGGUUGACAUUUCAAGCAUCUCAAGUAUGCCAAAUUUGGAGACUCUAACUCUAAAAGGUUGUACAAGGUUCCUUAAGUGUUUCAUCCAUGCUAAAUGUUAUUAUCAGUCAUGAACUAAUUGUUUUCUUGAAUAUAAUAGGGUGCACGAGACUUAAGAGUCUUCCAAGGAACUUUCCUAAGUUGGAAUGCCUUCAAACACUCUCUUGUUGUGGCUGUUCAAACUUAGAGAGUUUUCCGAAGAUCGAGGAAGAAAUGAGAAGUCUAAGAAAGCUUAAUUUAAGUCAAACAGGUAUAAUGGGAUUACCAUCAUCAAUUAGCAAGCUAAAUGGGCUUAAAGAGUUGGACUUAAGUAGUUGCAAAAAGCUUUCGAGUCUUCCGGACAGUAUUUAUAGUUUGAGCUCUCUUCAAACUCUCAAUCUAUUUGCAUGUUCACGACUAGUGGGCUUUCCGGGUAUCAAUAUUGGAAGUCUAAAAGCUCUUAAAUACUUGGAUUUGUCAUGGUGUGAGAACCUUGAGAGUCUUCCGAAUAGUAUUGGUAGUUUGAGCUCUCUUCAAACUCUUUUAUUGAUAGGGUGUUCAAAACUGAAGGGCUUUCCAGAUAUCAAUUUUGGAAGUCUAAAAGCUCUUGAAUCGUUAGAUUUCUCAGGUUGCAGAAACCUUGAGAGUCUUCCCGUGAGCAUUUACAAUGUAAGCUCUCUCAAAACUUUGGGGAUUACAAAUUGUCCAAAACUCGAGGAAAUGUUAGAGAUGAAACUAGGGGUUGAUCCAUGCCCCUGGCCAUUUUCACCUCUAACCUGUCACAUUUCAAAUUCAGCAAUAAUCUGGGAUGAUCACUGGCAUGACUGCUUUUCCUCAUUAGAAGCAUUAGACUCACAGUGCCCCCUGUCAUCACUGGUAGAAUUAUCUGUAAGAAAGUUUUAUGACAUGGAAGAAGACAUCCCCAUUGGCAGUUCCCACCUAACCUCAUUGGAAAUAUUAUCUCUGGGGAACGUCCCUACAGUAGUAGAAGGAAUCCUCUAUGACAUUUUCCAUCUAUCUUCAUUGGUAAAAUUAUCUCUUACUAAAUGCAAGCCAACAGAAGAAGGAAUCCCCCGUGAUAUUCAGAACCUAUCUCCACUGCAACAAUUAUCUCUACAUGACUGCAAUCUAAUGAAAGGAACGAUCCUCGAUCAUAUUUGCCAUCUAACAUCCUUGGAAGAAUUAUAUCUGGGUUGGAACCAUUUUAGUAGCAUUCCUGCUGGCAUCAGUCGACUUUCCAAUCUAAAAGCCCUUGACUUGAGUCACUGCAAGAAGCUUCAACAAAUUCCAGAGCUUCCAUCUAGUCUACGAUUUUUAGAUGCGCACUGUCCGGAUCGUAUUUCAUCAAGCCCCUUGCUUCUACCUAUUCAUUCUAUGGUCAAUUGCUUCAAAUCAAAAAUUGAGGUAUGAUUCUCAUGCCACGUUCCUUUUUCUUUUGUACCCAUUGGAUUUACAUGGUGCUUUCGUGCAGGGGCGCAAGGUUAUUAAUAGGUAUUCUUCCUUCUAUGGCAAUGGGAUUGGUAUUGUUAUUCCUAGUAGUGGAAUUCUAGAGUGGAUAACGUAUCGGAAUAUGGGAAGGCAAGUAACAAUAGAGCUCCCUCCGAAUUGGUAUAAAAAUGAUGACUUGUGGGGAUUUGCUUUAUGCUGUGUUUAUGUUGCACCUGCCUGUAAAUCUGAGGAUGAAUCUCAGUAUGAAUCAGGUCUUAUAUCUGAGGAUGACAGUGACCUUAAAGAUGAAGAAGCAAGCUUUUAUUGUGAAUUGACAAUCGAAGGAAAUAAUCAAUCAGAAGACGUGGGUCAUUUCUUUCUUCAUUCUCGCUGUAUUAAGGAUGAUGUAUCAGAUAUGCAGUGGGUGAUAUGUUAUCCCAAGUUAGCUAUUGAGAAAAGUUAUCACACCAAUCAAUGGACACACUUCAAGGCUUCAUUUGGUGGUGCCCAAGUGGAAGAGUGCGGAAUCCGUCUUGUAUACAGAAAAGAUUAUGAACAGAAGCAUCCAAGAAUGGCACAAGGCAGUACUUCUCAUGGGAAUUUUGGUGAGCAUGGAUCAGUAAGAGAAGAUACUGAUAGUAAAGCUCACAAUAAAAGGAAUCCCACAGAACAGAGCCCAGGAGAGGAGUCACACCAUAAAAGAUCCAGAGAAACCCAAGACUGAUCUCAAGUAUUAGGCUCAACCACACUUGCAUCACUAAUGCUCUCUUUACUGGUAAUUCAUCUUCCUUUCUCUUUCUAAUUCAAAGGUCAGAAUUUUUUUUUUAUCGUGUUUCUCCUUUUUAUUUGUUUUUUUUUUCCCCAAGACAAACAAAACUUUGAGGCUAUCACCCAUGGGCGCAAACUUCAAUGGUACACCUCCCAAGUUUGUUUUUCUCUCUCUCCAACCGUCUCUCCCUAGAUUUUUCUGCAUUUUCUUCAAACUCAUAUUUCCAUAUGAAAUUCAAUUACAUUCGAGCAUUUCAAUCUCUGUAGCUACUGUCUGAAUCAAUUAUAGGGUUUCUUUUUUCUGGAAGUUUGUAAUGUUAUUGAUUUAAGACUUCAUGUUUGGGGAUGUUUUGGGUGGCUUGUUCACUGGUAUUACUUGUGAUAAUUGCAGCUCUGGUGCUUUCAAUGACUGACAAUAGUUGAAACUAUGUUGAAUGCUUGUACUAAGGGAAUGGACUUCAGCUGCUCCAGGGUUAGUGCUAUAACAUCAGUAUUCACUCUUCAAGAAUGUAUAUAGUUGUUGUUUUGGAAUUUUGAAAUUACUUAGCAUCAGACAAUUUCUAACUCGGGAUUUGGAUUGGGAACCAUAAGUUAUCUCACCCUAGUGUUCUUUGGAAUAAUUAUAGGAUUUUGUAAGUAACUUUGGACUUGUUAGCAAUGUUCUGGAUUUGUGAAUAAUUUAUAGAAUACAUUGGGUGUUUUUUUUUUUUGGUCCAUCAAAAACUUCAAGAACUUUGAGGGUGAAUAAUGUAUGACUGUACUCUUCUCUAUCUCUGUGGUCAUAGCACACGUAUGAUUUGGUGCUUUUUUGCAGGCCUUCAACAGCAGCAAAGCAUCUGGUGGCUUGCAGUACUAAUCUUGCAUUAUAUUCUCUGUUUUGCAAUCAUUUGGUACUUUUUGUCCCAACCAAGGAUAGCUCUGUGCAAGCAGUCUCGACUGUGGAACAAGUAAAACAAAUGGUACCUGCUGAAGCUGAGAGUGCAGAUGAUAAACUGGUGCGGAAGGUGGUCAACCAAAAGAAUCAGACAGCAAAAACUAAAAAGCCCAUGAAGCCUGCUACUGAAGCAGUCUCAGCACCUGUUUCUAGGAGGGGUGAGAUUGAAGUGACUGAAGAAAAGGAGCAUCAGCAAACAAAGAAGGAAGAGGAGUUGGCCAGGAAGGUAGAGGAAUUGAGAAGUGAAGAAGAAGCAGCCAUGUUGAAGGAGCAAAGUCUGUUGGAGGAGAGAAAGCCAACGUUAAGGAGGCACUGGAAAGGCAACAAGGAACUGCAGAAAAGGCCAAUUUCUCUGUGAGUGCUGCCACCUUUUCAUGAUACAGCCAUCAUAAUGGAUGUUAAAAGCAGUCUAACUCUACAUACUUCCUUGCAUUAUACUAGUCAUUGAUGGGCUUAAAUUUUAAUUUAAAUGUAGUAUAAAUAUAUAAGUAGAUUGAUUGGGUCUGAAUUUGAACCUGGUUCGAGUCAUACUCCCAUCCAAUCCAAACUUGUGAUUGGGCUUGAAUUUCUUGGCCCAACCAGCGAAAUCAUUGACCAACGGCCCUUAGUUUGGGCUGGGCUUGAUGGUCCUCAGGUUAUGUAGGCUUAAUACUGAUUGGGUUUGGGCUUCCAUGCAGUUGUACUUGGAUUCUAUGUUUCCUAAUAUUAACACUAAAUUAGGUUUAAUUUAUAAUUAAAUAUAAUUAGUUUGAGACUAACUCCAAUCUUUAGUUAAACCAACUAAGUUUUAUGCAAAGGUUUAUAUUCCUAAUACCAUCAGGUAUUAUAGUAAAUACCAUUGAAAAACUAAAUUCAUGUGGAAGUUUCACUAGGUGAUACGACAUUAAAUUAUUAAGAUAAAAUUAAAAAAAGAUCAUGCUCGUAUGUCCCGUUGUUUGUCAUAAGAGAAUUUCUUUCUAGAUUUUUUUUUUUUUGCUCUUUUCAAUUCUAGAUAUUUUAAUAUAUCUUUACUUUUUCAAAAACAAUCCAUAGGAUUGUUCCCAAACAUAUAUCAUAUAAAUAUAUAUUUUUAAGAUUGAUUUUUAAGAAUGUUAUCAAAUAAACUCAUAAUAGCAUUUUUUUCUUUACAAUUACCAAUUCGUAUGAUGAAUUAAUUACUUUCAAUAACCGACAUCAUCUAAUCAAAAUUAUAAUUAAGUAUCAUAUUAAAAGAGUGUUUAAAAAAUCAAAUUUAAUAACUUAAAGUGAUUUAAUAAUUUAAUUUAAAUUAUUAAAAUAACUUGAUGUCACAAUUUAAAGUUAGAAAUGACUUAAUUUAUUUUUAUUUAAAUUUAAAACUAAGUUUACAAAAAAGGUUUAAAAUUCAUAUCAAUUAAGAAAUUAAGUCAUUAAGUUACUUUAAGCCAUUAAAUUGAUCUACCAAUUAAACACCCUUGAAGAUAUUACAUAAAGUUCACCUUCUACAUAUCAUGAAAAUUUAAAAUUAAUUACAACAUCAAGAAUCUUUAGUUCCUAAUCGAUAUCAUAUUUAAUCCUUGGUUGUAAAUUUCUUUACAUAUGUAGAUAUAUUUUUAUAUUGCAAGUGGGUUGCCGACUUUUCAUUUUAUACUAGUUUUGAAAUUAAGAUUGUAGUUUUUAUUUUGUCCAAAUCUAAUUUGGAGGGAGAAUCUUUAGAGGCUAUUUUAUAUUCAAAUAGGAAAAUUUUAAAUUUAAUAGUCCCACCUUAUAAAGGCAAAUAUCUUGGACCCUACAUGGGUGCCUCUUACAUGCAAAAGGACAAAGACUUAUUGAAAGCCUCUCUCAUUCACAUGGAUGCCAUCAUUCAUCAAAGUUGAAACAUGAAACCCACACAAAAGCAAUUUCAAUAUUUUUUUUCAUAACUAUAGCUGAGAAUCUCAAUAUUAUUAAAUAGUGACAAAAUUAAUUUCAAUAUUUUUUUUUCUUAUUUUUUGCUCCUUGUGGUUAUAUUUUCAUCUGGAAAGUAUUAAAUAUAUUAAAAAAGAAAAAAAUUAUAAAAAAAUUUUUUUCCUAGUUAAUUAUACUAUGAAAAAUAUAGAGUAAAAUAAAAUAUAAUUAAAAUUAGUUAAAAAAUUAUAUUUUUAUAAAAUUAUUUGACUUUUUUAUAAAAAUUUAAAAUAAGUGACAUGAGUUUGAAAUAGUAUAUAUAUUGACUUUAAUUCUUUCAAAUUAAUCACUAGGUUGUUAGAGACAUACACCUAUGAUCCAAAGGUUUUCCCAACAAAGAUAUCAAUAAAUCUUUCUACUCCAUUGAUUGCAUCUUGAAUUCUUUCAAAUUAAUCACUUCAUUGUAAUCAUUAUUCACUUCAUUGUGAUUUGUCAGACAACAAUUCAUUUCUGCUUCAUGGUUGGACCUUGAGGUAAGGCUUUAGAGGCAUAAGCCUCAAAAGCCUCUUAAAAUUGGUUCUACACUUCUUGCAUGAUGAAUGCAAGUUCCAAAUUUUGAUGACUUGGUAAUGUUGGAGUAAUUGGGUUGAAAGCAGUCAAACACAAAUAUUUAUUAAAGAAGAUAAAAAUUUGGAAGAAUUAAAAUUUUAUUGUAUUCUACCACUCUUUUUUUUAUUCAAAUAUUACAUAAUCCUUUAUUAACUAAAAAUGACAUAAUUAAAAGUAAAUUAUCAUUUGAUUGCAAUGGAUUUAAUAGAAUAUGGUGGAUAUGCUAAAUUUUUGUCUGAUAAUAAAAUUUGAUUUGAGUGAAUAUAAUUAGAGUAAAAUAGUCUUUUUAACUAUCACUUUUACAAUAAAAAGUGUUUUAUUUAAACAAAUAUUUAAUAAAAUUUUAAAAACAUUUGAUAAAUAAUUAUUAUAAAAACUCUUCCUCGAAAAUACUUCAAAGUUCGUCGGAUGGUAAAUUAUACAUCAAGAUCUUAAUGAUGGUCCAUGCAACCAUCACCAUUGAUUGUUUUUGAAAACACAACUUCAAUUUAAAUAAUAUUUUAAGGUAACUCCUAGUUAUCAUAUUUUACAAGAUAUUUUUUAAAAUUAUUGUUUUUUUUCUUUCAAAAUCCUAAGAGAGAGGUCACCAAUAUCAAAAUAAUGUGACCCAUCUCUAUACUAUUGUCUCCAUUAUUUGGACUAUAUCAUAGUUUCCUUAUUGACAACAUGGUAGCCAUGUUAAAUACCUACAACUUUGAAAACAAGAUCUCAAAACUAUGCCUAUUUGAUUAUAAGGCUUAAUUAUUAUAGUUUAUCAUUUCCUAGCAUAUAUAGUUCUUAGCAUCUAAGUAUUUGUUAUAUAAGAAUUUUUCUCAUUUUUCAAGCUUGCAUUUUGUUUAGAAAUUUUUUGAGUUUUUUACAAUCAUUUUGAAAAUGUCAACUCAUAAUUAUAUACAUUUUAGUUCUAUAAGGACUAAAAUCACUUAACAUCAUGGUAAUACUAUUUAAGGUAAUUUGCUUUGAAUCAGAAUGAACUUAUAUACAACUUACGAUUUAUGGUAAUAAUAGAGAUCGAAUUUAAAAAUACAUAAGUUUUCAAUUAAAUAUUAAUAUAUUUAUGUUUCCUUCUUAUUUUUAAUCCUAAAACACAUUAAAUGUAUGCUCUUGAAUUCCUCCAUGUAAUGCGAUUUGAUAUAAUGAUAAAUCAACAAUUAUGAUUUAAUAAUAUGGUGCUUUGACUUUUGACAUUUAAGUAACACCGUCAAUAAAAGCUCCAUAUCUUUGCUUCAUGGAAGAACGUACAAAUGAUGUGAUUGAAUUACAUUUCAAUUAUGUUUGAUUCUUUGAAAAUACUCAAGAAAAAUAAAUAUUUAAAAAAAUAAUUUUCUCAUAUUUGAUUUUACUAUAAAAAAAAUACAUAAUUAAAAUUAGUAAUAAAUUUAAAUAAUUUUAAAUUACUUAAUCUUUAUAUAAAAAAGUUAAAUUAGUAAAACGAGUUUAAAACAUGAUAUAAAGGUAAUUUAUUGACUUUAAUUUUUUUUUUUUACUUCACUUUUUCUUUCCUUCUCUUUGAUGAGAUCAUCUUAGAUAAAUUGUUAAUUGAUUGCAGCAUAUUCAAUUGAAUUCGAUAGUCUAGGUAUCAUAAAUCAUACAUGUUGUGCACCAUUUACAGUAAAUGAACCGUCACAAACCAUACAUAGAGGAGAUGUUGAUUUCAUUAUAAAUCAUACGAUAAUUACAAAAGAUAUGAUAUUAACUUGCAGUAAAUUGCAACAUCGGCACUCUAAUGCUAGACAAAGUAACUAGACAAAGUAAGUCUAAUUAUUGCUAACUUUCCUCAUCUUUCUUGGGCCUUUUGGGUGCUUUUUGUGCAAAAGAGAAAAAGCUAUAACUAAAUUGCCAAUCCAUCACCGACGUUAUAGACUGAUGAAGAAUACCAAAGGGAGUGUUACGAAAUAAUGAGAAUAAAUAAUAAGAAAAAUAGAAUAAGAACACAUAGAUAUACGUGAAAAACUUUAGAUGGGAAAAAUCAUGAGAAAACGAGAAAAAGAUCCGUUAUGUCAAAAAUUGGUACAAAAUGGGAGAGUUGAAAGCGACUACAACAAAAGUAUAAUCAUCGUAACCCUAAAACUAUACAUCAUUAUUAUAUAUAUAUAUAUAUGUAUAUAUAUAUAUAUGCGAGAGUUGAGAACAACUAUGGGAUGAGGUCUAUCGACUCGAUCCCUUCACUACCCCCACAAAUCUCUCAAAAAAUCUCAUAAUUUUAACUUUACUACAUAUAUUGCAUCGCGAGCUUUUCGAAUUGAAUAAAAAAGAAUUUGGAAUCAUCAAACAGUAACAAAGGGAGUGAGAUCAUAACUUUGGAAGGAUUUUUUUUUUUUUUAAAUGUAGACUUGAAUGGUAAAUACUAAAAUGUGUUUGAGAGUGAUACUUGAAAGUAUUUUUAAUAUUUUUAAUAUUCGAAAAAUAAAAAAUUUUCAAAUAUUAAAAAUAUUUCCUAAAAUCAAUAUCAAAAACCAUUUUACAAAAUCAGUAUCAAACUAUCAAACAUAAUUUGAAUUUAAAUAGAGACAAGAACAACAUUGACUCUUGACUCACCAAACCAGUCCUAGUUCACUUAUUGAAUGAAAAGAAAAUAAUUAAAAAUAAAUAACAGCAUCCAUUCUACCAUGUUAUGAAGAGUAAAAGACAAUGGAGAUUUUAACUUUGUUGCCUUAAAAGUCAUGCCCCCUUUCAUGAGUAUAUAUAAUAAAAUAUAUUCGUUUGCAUCUCUUGAAUGCAAAUAAUUUGAUAAUUUUUUUAUAAUUAAUUUAUGAAGAUAACAAUUUGAUAAUUAGACAAUUAUGUUGAUAUUUUGACAUUAUUAUCAAUUUACCAAAUAAGAUUGUUUUUCACCCAACAAUAAUUUACUUAGAAUAAUAAAUAAAUUAAAUUAGCUAACGUAACCAAAGCAUUUGAUUAAAAAUUGGUUUUCAUUUACAAAGAUAAGUUGAAAAUUAAUUUUAAUUUGAUUUAAUUAGGAAAUUAAUUUUUUGCUUGUUAAGUUUGUUUUAAUUUGUAAAUUCAUGUAAAUAAAAAAAAGGAUAAAAAGAUAAUUUUCAUGUGAAAAUUCAUUUAAUUUGAAAAUAAAUGAUGUAAUGUGUUUCAUUGUCGGUUAGCAUUUUUCUUUUUUUCUUGUUUGUAUAACUUUUUAAAAUGUAAAAGAUAAUAAUAAAAUAAGAAAUAAUCAAUAAAUUAAAAAAAUAAAAUAAAUGAUCUCACUAAAAAUGUUUUUUUACCUUAUGUCAUAUGACUUGGAUUAUUUUUUUUCUCUUUUCAGUAAAACAAACUUUUAAUAUAAAUAAAAAAAUAAAAUAGGACAUAGAGGAAAAUAGCUAAAGAGUAUAAAAAAAAUUCAAAAUAAUGCACUAAAAAUGGAAAGAGAAUAUGGUGAGUAGUUGAAUAAUAAUAAAUAAAAAAAAGUCAAAAAAGCUUCAAUACUCUUUGAAUCCACUGUUAGUGAAUGCCAAAAGGCAUACAUCAUACACGCAACUAGAAAUAAAAUGGUAAAAUAUAAAGAAAAGAGUCAGAAAAAGCACGAAGACUACAAUUAAUAAUCGUGGCAGGACUUCGACUCUCGUGAACCCCCCACUGUCACUCAAUGCUAUAGGGUUACAGGCUUGGAGCCAAUCAAAGAUAAUUGAGACAGAAGAACCAGACAUCCUCAACACCAUCGUCUCAGACUCUCAGCAUUCAAAGACCCCUUUGUAUUUUCUUCUUCCAAAUUCUGUUCUUGUAAUUUUGUUACAAUCCAACCAUGGCUUCCACUAGCAAUCCCAAGAGACCCUCUUCUUCUUCUAAUUCUAAAUGGAGGUACGAUGUGGUCUUGAGUUUCAGAGGCGAGGAUACCCGCAACAACUUUACUAGUCAUCUCUACAAGGCUUUGGAUCAUGCCAACAUUGAAACCUUUAUAGAUGAUGAAGGACUUCCAAGGGGAGAAGAGAUUGCGCCCGAGCUCCUAAAAGCUAUUGAAGGAUCAAGGAUUGCCCUUAUUGUCUUCUCGAAAACCUAUGCUCAUUCCAAGUGGUGCUUGGAUGAACUCGUCAAGAUCAUGGAGUGCGAGAAAGAAAAGGGACAACAGGUUUUUCCUAUUUUCUAUCAUGUAGAGCCGUCUGAAGUCAGGAACCAGACUGGGAUUUAUGGAGAAGCAUUUAACAAUCACGAAAGAAAUGCAGACGAGGAGAAGAAGAAGAAGAAGAUAGAGCAGUGGCGGACUGCCUUAAGGAAAGCUGGUAAUUUGAGUGGAUUUCCUCUGCAGGAUAGGUAAUCCCUACUUCACUUUUUCCAUUCCCAAUUUUCUGUCAGUUUAUUUUCAUUCUUGUUAAUAAAUAAAAUAUUUAUGAUUACAUUUAUCAAUCAAAAUCCAUUUUUAAGUAGUAGACAUUAAUAUGUUCGAUUUCUUGGAAAGUAAUAAGAAAGAGUAAAAAAAAAAAAAAAAAAGAUUUUCUCACAUUUAAUUUAUUAUUAAAAUUAUAAAAGGAAAUCAAAUAUAAUUAAAAUAUAUCAGAAAAAAUUAUAUUUGCCCAGCAGGUGGAAAUGCCAAGUUUUGAAUUGUUAAAAAUCUUUAAGAUUCCAAAAUAUUCUUCCUUUCUAAUCGAUCCAUCUUAGCCAUAAUUUCUAUCAGUUAAAAAAAAUGGUAGUCUGUCAAAUAAAUUGUUAAAAUUGGUUAUUUAUAUGCCUUGUAAAUUUGGAGAUAAUCUGAGAUGAUUAUUUAAAAUAUUGUAAUACUACCCUAAAUUUUUUUGGACCCUCUUAUGGGACAAAAAACUUAGUUAUUGCACCCUUAACCUUUUUCAAUUUUAGAGGAAUUUUCCAUUACUUAAAUAAUUUUCUCUUCUUCUCUGUGCACUACAUGAGUUUACAUUUCUUCUUUACUUAAUAUUGUUUGUUCCUCUAUAUUUGCAAGUUGAUUAUUAAAUUUAUUUACCUUUUAAUCUAAUGUUUGUAUCUCGUUUUAUUCUAAUUAUCCCAUGACUCUUCUUAAGACCUUGUCUUUCACGUUGAAUCAUCUAAUGCUAAACUUAUUCCCUUACUAUUCUACUUUGUGUACUCAUGGGAUUAAUGUAUUGCAAUCAAAAUUAUUUUUUUUAAUCUCUUUUUCUCUUGUAUGUUCUACAUUCCUCUAUACCUCACAAAUAAAAGCAAGUAACCUUACAGCUUGUUUGACAAUAUAUUUGCAACUAAUGUUCAAAAAAUAGUUUUCCCCAACACAAUGUUGAAAAUAAUGAACAAAAUUUUAUUUGAAAAUUCAAAUAUGAAGAACGACUUUCUCGACUUAUUAACUAUGAAGGUGCUAUAAAUUUUUGUACAACAUAACAAUUCUCUAAGUAUUAUCUAUAUUUUCAAUUCUUUAUCACAAUACUCUAUAAGAAAAUACCUAAAAACAUUUCAAAUAUGCUCUUAAAAAUGAACUUGUUUACCAAACAAAUUUUUGAAAAUUAUUUUUAAUAAAAGAAAAAAUUAAAAAUAUAAUCAAGUGACAUGAAAUAUGGGAUGAAAAAUAAUAAGUUCUGUAUAUUAGAUUGACUAUACACACAGUUUAUAUUGGAUAUUACAAGAGAAGAAAUAAGAAACAAGAGACAUAAUAGAAAACUAACUUAUUCAUAAACUAACUUAUUCCUAAAUCAUAAAACUAUCUAUUUACAAAAAUAAAAAACUAAUAUAAUAUGAAAAUAAUUCUCCUAUUCUAUUUACAGCUCAAUUACAACCUAUUUACAGCUCAACACUCCCCCUCAAGCUAAGGAAUAGAUGUCUUCCAUUCCAAGCUUGAAUACAAGAUCGUGAAACAUUGAACUGUUCAGCCCUUUUGUUAGGAUAUCAACUAAUUGAUGUUUUGAUGGAACAUAGGACAUACACACUACUCCUUCCUCCAAUUUUUCUUUGAUAAAAUGCCUAUUAAUCUCAAUAUGUUUUGUCCUAUUGUGUUGUAUAGGGUUAUGAGCAAUAUUGAUAGCUGACUUGUUGUCACAAUAGAGCUUCAUAUGACCAUCCCACUUGAUUCUCAAAUCAUCUAGAAUAAUCUUCAGUCAAAGUAGUUCAUACAACCCUUGAGCAAUGUCCCUAAACUCUGAUUUUGCAGACGACCUUGCUACCACAUUCUGCUUUUUACUUUUCCAUGUUACCAGAUUACCUCGAGGAAAAGUACAAUACCCUAUAGUUGAUCUUCGAUCCACUAGGGAACCUGCAUAGUCAACGUCAGUAUAUGCUUCUAGAGUAAGAGUAUUGUUCUUUUUGAACAAAAUUCCUUUCCCGGGGUUGCCUUUCAAGUAAUGCAGCACCCUGUAAGCAACUUGAAGAUGAGGUUCUCUUGGAUCAUGCAUGAAUUGACUGAUCACGCUCACCGAGUAGGCGAUGUCUGGCAAGUGUGAGCAAGGUAUAUGAGCCUACCAACUAGCCUUUGGUACAUUCUUUUAUCCACCACUGGUUCUUCUUUAGCUUCUCCCAACUUGUGAUUUGGAUCCAUUGGGGUAGAGACUAGUUUACACCCAAUCUUCCUUGUUUCUGUCAAUAAAUUAGUCACAUACUUUUGUUGAUAGAUGAAGAUCUCUUGUGUGGAAUAUGCCACCUCAAUAUUGAGGAAGUGCUUUACUUUCCCUAGUUCCUUUAUCUCAAACUCUGUUGCUAAUCUUUGCUUCACUUCAUGCUUUUCUCUCUCAUCAUUUCCAGUCAUUAUGAUGUCGUCAACAUAGACUAGAAAAGCAAUUACUCCCCCUGUAGCCGAGUGCUUAAUGAAGAGAGUGUGGUCACCUUGGCUUUGCUUGUACCCAUACUCUUUCAUGACUUUUUCAAAUCUCUCAAACCAAGCCCUAGGAGAUUGUUUUAGCCUAUAAAGGGCCUUUUUCAGCCUACACACCUUGUUACCUAUGUUUCCCUCAAAUCUUGGUGGGAUGUUCAUGUAAAUCUCUUCAUCUAAAUCACCAUGAAGAAAUGCAUUCUUAACAUCAUACUAUAGGAGUUGCCAAUUGUAGUGGGUAGCCAAGGACAGUAGGAUUCUUAUAGUAUUCAUUUUUGCAACUGGAGCAAAAGCCUCCUGAUAAUCAACUCCAUAAGUUUGAGUGUACCAUUUGGCUACCAAUCUUGCUUUAUGUCUCUCAAGAGAUCCAUCAGUCUUAUAUUUCAGCGUGAAAAUCCACUUGCAAUUAACAAUGUUUUUCCCUUUCGUCUUUCAACAAUCUCCCAUGUUUUAUUAUUUUCUAAUGCAUUCAUCUCCUCUCUCAUAGCAUCCUUCCAUUCCCUUUUUGUCAAUACCUCAGAAACAGUGUUAGAGAUGAUAGUGGUGUUUAAACUCACAAUGAAAUUCUUGUGGGCUAGUGAUAGGUGCUUAAGAGACACAUAGUGUGAUAGUGGAUAGAGUGGUUAAUUAGUGCAUUAUCCGGUGCCUUUUCUGACAGCAAUGAGAAGGUCUAGGUCUAGGUUGUCUGUUGAGUCAAUGGAAGUUUCACCAAGUUGUGUAUGUAAAGGUGGGUCUAAUCUUACCGUGAUUUCAUUCCUAGGAUUUGAGUUGGAUUCUUGGACCUGCUAUUGUUCUGGAAUGACCUUUUCCCUUUAAUACAUCUUAGGAAACUGUGGAAAAUUACAAGUGACACUGGUUGGAAUAGGGAAUGACACGGGUUUAGUGGUAAAAUUGGGUGACUCAGGUGUGAUUAGUUCGGAUGACUCAAGUUCUUCAUCACCAUGGGUUGAGACAUGAGGAAGGUUAAGAGGUUCAAAGGAGUCACAAGGACUAUCCUCCAUCAUUGAAAUCUCCCCCUAAAUAGAGGACUUGGGAAAAAAGGUUUAUUUUCUGUGAAGGUGACAACUGCAGAGAUGUAAAAUUUUCUGGCUAAGGGAUUGUAACACUUGUAUCCUUUUUGAGUAGAUGAGUAAACCAAGGAAGACACAUUUUAUGGCUCGGGGGUCUAGCUUGUCUCUAUGAUGGUUGUGGACAUGAACAAAUGCAAUGCAUCAAAAUACACUAGGAGUGAGCCCAUAUGAGGUUCUAAAGUGUGGAUAGAAACUCUUAAGUAUCUCUACGGGGCUUUUGUUGUCUAACACUUGUGAGAGAAUUCUAUUUAUCAUGUAUGUGGCAGUAAGAACAGCUUCCCCCCAAUAGGACUUAGGAACAUUCCCUUGAAAGAGUAAGGCUCGGGUUGUGUUGAGUAAAUGCCCAUUUUUUCUCUCGGGUAUCCCAUUUUGUUGGGGUGUGUUAACACAUGAUGAGUCAUGGAGAAUGCCCUGUGAUUGAAAAUUGGGUGACAAAGUAUGGUUAAAGUAAUCUCUAGCAUUGUCUGUCUUAAAACUUUUUAUUUUAACCCCAAAUUGGUUUUGAACCAUUGAGUGGAAAUUAGGUAUAACAAUGCUAACAUCAGAUUUUUGUUUAAGAAGAAAGAUCCAUGUAAUCUGAGUGCAGUCAUCAAUUAAGGAUACAAACCAACGAGCCCCAUAAACAUUAGGUAUAGUCGAAGGACCCCAUAUGUCACUAAGAAUCAAAUGAAAAGGAUGAGAACUUCUUUUAUUGCUAAUAGGAAAAAAUUCACGAGUAUGUUUUGUCAAUUCACAAGUUUUGUAAUGAAACUUAGAAAUAUCUAAUCCUUGAAACAAAUGAGGAAACAUGACCUUUAAAACCCUAAAAGAUGGAUGACCUAGACGUAGGUGAUACAACCAAAUGGUAUCUUUAUUUAAGGAACUCUAAAAAGACACACAAAUUAUUACUAGUUUUCUGAGAUGAUUCAAGGUGAUAAAGACCGCUCAUUUCCUUAGCAAGUCCAAUCCUCCUUCCCGAGCCUUGUUCCUGAAAAACACAAUAAGAAUGGAAAAAAAUAGCAGAACAUUUAAGAUCAUGGGUAAGCUUUUGAAUGGAAACAAGGUUGGCCGACAAUUUUGGUACAUGGAGGACAUUUUUAAGAAUAAGGGUAGGUGUGAUAUAUAUGUCUCUGAAACCUGCAACGGUAACUAAAAAGCCAUUGGCCAUUGCAAUUUUCUUGUUACUUGGGUUUGAGGUAUAGGUAUGGAAAAGUUGAGAUUUGGAGGUCAUAUGGUCUGUGGCACCGAAGUCUAUUAUCCAAUAGUCAUUAUAAACCUUGUGUGAGGCAUUUAUGCAAAAUGAGAGUGAAGGUGUACCUGAAUUUUCCAACAUCUUCCACGAAAAAAAAAACCUGAUCUCUUGGGAAUUAAGGUAGAUCGCGAAACAAAAAAACCAGCAACAAUGAAGGUUGGUAAAAGAACACGUGAAUAAAAAAAAUCUAACUAUGAAGGCCAGAAAAAUGGCGAUGAAGGCCAGAAUGAUGCCCAGGUCUUAAAAACCUACUGCUCUGAUACCAUGACACGAAAUGUGGGAUGAAAAAUAAUAAGUUUUGUAUAUUAGAUUGACUAUAUACAUAGUUUAUAUUGGAUAUUAUAAGAGAAGAAAUAGGAAACAAGAGACAUAAUAGGAAACUAACUUAUUCCUAAAUCAUAAAACUAUCUAUUUACAAAAAUAGGAAACUAACAUAAUAGGAAAAUAAUUCUCCUAUUCUAUUUACAGCUCAAUUACAACCUAUUUAUAGCUCAACAUUAAGUUAUAAAACUAUUUUAUAUUCUAAAGAAAAAAAAAAUCUAUUUUCAAAAACAAUAUCUAUAUAAGCAUUUUUCUUUUAAGUAUGAUUUUAAAAUGUUUUUCCAUGAGUCUAAUUGUUGCUAGGAUUUUGACCAAUAAACAAAUAUGUGUGACUUUCCUCGUCAUUGUAAUUUAUAUUUGGGAAAAAAAUGGGGAUUUCAUCAAAAUAUGAAACUUAUGUAACAAUUAUUAGCAACCUAAAUAUAAAUAAAACUAAAACGGAGAAUUUACUUGUUUAUGGAAUAAAUAGUUGAAAAUUUUAUAAGCAUUGAGGAUGGUCAUAAAUCAUGUUGUAAUUAAUAAAAGCAUUUCUAGGUUAUGGAACUUGGGUGGCAAAUUGGUAGAUUUCUAGCCAAACUAGUAUUUGUCUCUAUAAUAAAAUCUCUUAUCAUAAAGGGUAAUGAUACUUUAGAAAGGUCAACUUCAAAUUGGGCCUUUAGAAGCAAUUAAGAUAUUUACAUUAUUUUAUUGCAUGUAUACUUGACAUGACAUAAUGAAAUUUUAUUUAAACAUGCAAUUCAACACAUUUUUAAUUUACAUUCUAUUUGACCUUAAUUUAAUGGCACCGAACGAAACUAAGAAUCAUUCUAUAAUUUCCAUUUACUUCAUCUUUGUUUUCUUUGACAAUUGAUUGUAGCUCACUGCAUGUUUUAUUGUACUUUAUAAUGGACAGAUUUGAGUCAGAGUUUAUUCAAGAAAUCAUUGGUGAGAUUCGAAGAUUAACUCCUAAGUUGGUACAUGUUGGUGAGAACAUAGUUGGAAUGGAUGAAAAUUUGAAAGAGGUGGAGUUAUUGAUAAACGCCCAAUCAAAUGGAGUGAGCAUGGUUGGGAUUUAUGGGAUUGGUGGGAUUGGUAAAACUACCAUUGCCAAGGUUGUUUACAAUGAUAUGUUAGAUCAAUUUCAACGUCACAGCUUUCUUGAAAAUGUGAGGGAGAAAUCUAAAGAUGAUCAUGGUUUGCUUGAAUUACAAAAAAAACUUCUUUGUGAUAUCCUAAUGGAGAAAAAUCUGAAGUUAAGAAAUAUUAAUGACGGUAUCAAAAUGGUAAAGAGGAAGUGUCGCAUUGAAAAGGUUCUCAUUGUUCUUGAUGAUGUAGAUUGUCAAAAACAAUUAAAAUUCUUAGCUCCUAAUUCUGAAUGUUUUCAUCAAGGAAGCAUAAUCAUCGUGACCACGAGAAAUAAACGUUGCCUAGAUGUACAUAAGUCAUAUUCAUCAUAUGAGGCUAAGGGAUUAGCACACACGCAAGCUAAGGAACUCUUUUGUUGGAAUGCCUUUCAGCAAGACCAUCCCGAGUAUGAGGACCUCUCUAAUUGUAUACUAGAUUAUGCUAAAGGCCUUCCAUUGGCUCUUGUAGUUUUGGGUUCUUUUCUCUAUCAAAGGGAUGUGGAUUACUGGGAAAGCACACUGCAUAAACUAAAAACAAACCCUCUUGAGGAUAUUCAAAAGGUACUCCAGAUAAGUUAUGAUGGACUAGAUAAUAAAUGGAAGGAGUUGUUUCUUGAUAUUGCAUGUUUCUUCAGAAAUGAGGAUAAAAAAGUUGUUACAAGAAUACUAGAAGGUUGCAAAUUCCAUCCUAAGUCUGGACUAACGGUUCUUCAUGAGAGGUGUCUUAUUUCUAUAACAGACGACACCAUAAGGAUGCAUGACUUGUUACAAGAAAUGGGUUGGGCAAUUGUUCGCCAAAAUUUUCCAGAACAUCCUGAAGAAUGGAGCAGAUUGUGGGAAUUACAGGAUAUUAAAAGUGUUUUACCACAAAAUAAGGUAGGAGAAAAAUACAUGAACUUACUUGAGAUCUAAAGACAUAUAAAAGAUUCAACAAGAAUUAUUUUUAUUAUUAUUAUAGUUUUGAGUAUCUUAUCUAUAUAAUUUUAGUGAAUCCCUAUGCAUCUUAUAUUGCUUAUUCUCAAUGCUUGUUUUCAGGGGACAAAAAACAUAGAGGGGAUAUCCAUAAAUCGGUCUUGGGAUAGUAAAAAACGUAUACAACUUACUGCUGAAGCUUUCAGAAAGAUGAAUCGACUUAGAUUGCUCAAAGUUAAAGGCGAUAUGGUGCAGCUUUCCUAAGACUUUGAAUUGCCUUGUCAUGAUUUAGUAUAUUUUCAUUGGGAUAACUACCCUUUGGAAUAUUUGCCAUCAAAUUUUCAUGUAGAAAAUCCUGUUGAACUUAACCUCUGGUACAGCAACAUAGAACAUCUUUGGGAAGGAAACAUGGUAUUGCUAUUAUUUAGUUAUAUUUUUGCUCUAGACUAAUUUUAAAGUCUUUUGAAGUUUACUUAUUGAAACGAAUUUUCUUCUGUUACAGCCUGCUAAAAAGUUAAAAGUCACUGAUCUUAGUUAUUCCAGGCAUCUGGUUGACAUUUCAAACAUCUCAAGUAUGCAAAAUUUGGAGACUCUAAUUCUAAAAGGUUGUACAAGGUUACUUAAGUGUUUCACCCAUGCUUAAUGUUAUUAUUAGUCAUGAACUAACUGUUUUCUUGAAUAUAAUAGGAUGCAAGAGACUUGAGAGUCUUCCAAGGAACUUUCAUAAGCUGGAAUGCCUUCAAACACUCUCUUGUGAUGGCUGUUCAAACUUAAAAGUUUUCCGAAGAUCAAGGAAGAAAUGAGAAGUCUAAGAAAGCUUAAUUUAAGUCAUACAAGUAUAAUGGAAUUAACAUCAUCAAUUAGGCAUCUAAAUGGGCUUGAAGAGUUGGACUUAAGUAAUUGCAAAAACCUUUUGAGUCUUCCGGACAGUAUUGGUAGUUUGAACUCUCUUCAAACUCUCGAUCUAGUUGAGUGUUCAAAACUAGUGGGUUUUACAAAUAUCAAUAUUGGAAGUCUAAAAGCUCUUGAAUAUUUGGAUUUGUCAUGGUGUGAGAACCUUGAGAGUCUUCCAAAUAGUAUUGGUAGUUUGAGCUCUCUUCAAACUCUUUUAUUGAUAGGGUGUUCAAAAUUGAAGGGCUUUCCAGAUAUCAAUUUUGGAAGUCUAAAAGCUCUUGAAUUGUUAGAUUUCUCACACUGCAGAAACCUUGAGAGUCUUCCUGUGAGCAUUUACAAUUUGAGCUCUCUCAAAACUUUGGGGAUUACAAAUUGUCCAAAACUCGAGGAAAUGUUAGAGAUUAAAUUAGGGGUUGAUUGGCCAUUUUCACCUCUAACCUGUCACAUUUCAAAUUCAGCAAUAACCUGGUAUGAUGACUGGCAUGACUGCUUUUCCUCAUUAGAAGCAUUAAACCCACAGUGCCCCCUGUCAUCACUGGUAGAAUUAUCUGUAAGAAAGUUUUAUGGCAUGGAAGAAGACAUCCUCAGUGGCAGUUUCCACCUAUCCUCAUUGCAAAUAUUAUCUCUAGGGAACUUCCCUAGCGUGGCAGAAGGAAUCCUCGAUAAGAUUUUCCAUCUAUCCUCGUUGGUAAAAUUAUCUCUUACUAAAUGCAAGCCAACGGAAGAAGGAAUCCCUGGUGAUAUUUGGAACCUAUCUCCACUGCAACAAUUAUCUCUACGUGACUGCAAUCUAAUGGAAGGAAAGAUCCUCAAUCAUAUUUGCCAUCUAACAUCCUUGGAAGAAUUAUAUCUGGGUUGGAACCAUUUUAGUAGCAUACCUGCUGGCAUCAGUCGACUUUCUAAUCUAAAGGCCCUUGACUUGAGUCAUUGCAAGAACCUUCAACAAAUUCCAGAGCUUCCAUCAAGUCUACGAUUUUUAGAUGCGCACUGUUCGGAUGGUAUUUCAUCAAGCCCCUCGCUUCUACCUAUUCAUUCUAUGGUCAAUUGCUUCAAAUCAGAAAUUGAGGUAUGAUUCUCAUGCCACGUUCCUCUUUCUUUUGUACCCAUUGAAUUUACAUGGUGCUUUUGUGCAGGACCGCAAGGUUAUUAAUCAUUAUUCUUACUUCUGGGGCAAUGGAAUUGGUAUUGUUAUUCCUAGAAGUAGUGGAAUUCUAGAGUGGAUAACAUAUCGGAAUAUGGGAAGGAAUGAAGUAACAGUAGAGCUCCCUCCGAAUUGGUAUAAAAAUGAUGACUUGUGGGGAUUUGCUUUAUGCUGUGUUUAUGUUGCACCUGCCUAUGAAUCUCAGUAUGAAUUAGGUCAUAUAUCUAAGGAUGACGCUGAACUUGAAGAUGAAGGACCAGGGUUCUGUUGUGAUUUGAGUAUCGAAGGAAAUAAUCAAUCAGGAGACGUGGGUUUUUUCCUUCUUUAUUCUUGCUGUGUUAAAUAUGAUGUGUCAGAUAUGCAGUGGGUGAUAUGUUAUCCCAAGUUAGCUAUUGAGGAAAGUUAUCACACCAAUCAAUGGACACACUUCAAGGCUUCAUUUGGUGGUGCCCAAGUGGAAGAGUGCGGAAUCCGUCUUGUAUACACAGAAGAUUAUGAACAGAAGCAUCCAGCAAUGGCACAAGGCAGUACUUCUCAUGGGAAUUUUGGUGAGCAUGGAUCGGUAAGAGAAGAUACUGAUAGUAAGCUCACAAUAAAAGGAAUCCCACAGAACAGAGCCCAAGAGAGGAGUCACACCAUAAAAGAUCCAUAGAAACCCAAGACUGAUCCCAAGUAUUAGGCUCAACCACACUUGCAUCACUAAUGCUAUCUUUACUGGUAAUUCAUCUUCCUUUCUCUUUCUAAUUCAAAGGUCAGAAUUUUUUUUUAUCGUGUUUCUCCUUUUUAUUUGUCUUUUUCCCCAAGACAAACAAAACUUUGAGGCUAUCACCCAUGGGCGCAAACUUCAAUGGUACACCUCCCAAGUUUGUUUUUCUCUCUCUCCAACCGUCUUUCCCUAGAUUUUUCUGCAUUUUCUUCAAACCCAUAUUUCCAUAUGAAAUUCAAUUACAUUCGAGCAUUUCAAUCUCUGUAGCUACUGUCUGAAUCAUUUAUAGGGUUUCUUUUUUCUGGAAGUUUGUAAUGUUAUUGAUUUAAGACUUCAUGUUUGGGGAUGUUUUGGGUGGCUUGUUCACUGGUAUUAAUUGUGAUAAUUGCAGCUCUGGUGCUUUCAAUGACUUUGACAAUAGUCGAAACUAUGUUGAAUGCUUGUACCAAGGGAAUGGACUUCAGUUGCUCUAGGGUUAGUGCUAUAACAUCAGUAUUCACUCUUCAAGAAUGUAUAUAGUUGUUGUUUUGGAAUUUUGAAAUUACUUAGCAUCAGACAAUUUCUAACUCGGGAUUUGGAUUGGGAACCAUAAGUUAUCAUUAGAGAGUGUAUGAGAAGGAAUUUUAGAGUGAGAUGGGUGAUGCAUGUUGAGGGAUGAAAGAGGGAUGUAUCUCACCCUAGAGUUCUUUGGAAUAAUUAUAGGAUUUUGUAAGUAACUUUGGACUUACUUGCAAUGUUCUGGAUUUGUGAAUAAUUUAUAGAAUGCAUUGGGUUUUUUUUUUUUGUUUUUUUUUUUGGUCCAUAAGAAACUAAAAGAACUUUGAGAGUGAAUAAUGUAUGACUGUACUCUUCUCUAUCUCUCUGGUCAUAGCACACGUAUGAUUUGGUACUUUUUUGCAGGCUUCAACAGCAGCAAAGCAUCUGGUGGCUUGCAGUACUAAUCUUACAUUAUAUUCUCUGUUUUGCAAUCAUUUGGUACUUUUUGUCCCAACCAAGGAUAGCUCUGUGCAACAGUCUCGACUGUGGAACAAGUAAAACAAAUGGUACCUGCUGAAGCUGAGAGGGCAGAUAAUAAAUUGGUGCGGAAGGUGGUCAACCAAAAGAAUCAGACAGCAAAAACUAAAAAAGCCGAUGAAGCCUGCUACUGAAGCAGUCUCAGCACCUGUUUCUAGGAGGGGUGAGAUUGAAGUGACUGAAGAAAAGGAGCGUGAGCAAACAAAGAAGGAAGAGGAGUUGGCCAGGAAGGUAGAGGAAUUGAGAAGUGAAGAGGAAGCAGCCAUGUUGAAGGAGAAAAGUCUGUUGGAGGAGAAAGCCAACGUUAAGAAGGCAUUGGAAAGGAAACAAGGAACUGCAGAAAAGGCCAAUUUCUCUGUGAGUGCUGCCACCUUUUCGUGAUACAGCCAUAAUAAUGGAUGUUAAAAGCAGUCUAACUCUACAUGGCGUUUAUUUUCCCCAGCCAUAGAUUGGAAUCUGCCAGUCUGACUCUCAUAAGAAAGAAAAUUUUCCAUCGAUCCUCGUAUGGAUUAUUGGAGAAGAUUUUAACAUGGAGUUCACAAGAGAGUUUCUAACACCCACUUAAAAGGACAUUUUAGAAAACUUAUUGAAAAAUAACAUGAGAGUACAUAAAUUUUUAGAUAUUUUUAAAAAUAUUUGAAAAUUUAAAUUAACUAAAAGUAUUUGAAAAAUAUUUGAUUGAAUUAACAAAUAUCAAGUAUUUGCAUAUGAAAAAAUAAUAAACAUUGUGAAGAAUUUUUUUAUUAAUUAGUGCAUAAUAAUUUUAUUUUCCUUUUAAUCACAAAUUAAUCUAUGGCAAAAUCUCAUAUUUGUUGUAGGGACAAUGUUGUCUUACAUUUUUCUUUCAUGAUGGACUCAAAUUUUAAUUUAAAUGUAGUAUAAAUAUAUAAUUAGAUUGAAAUUUCGUCCACUAAGAUUGAUUGGGUAUGAAUUUGAACCCUCGUUCGGGUCAUACUUCCAUCCAAUCCAAGCUUGUGGUUGGGCUUGAAUUUCUUGGCCCAACCAGUAAUGUCAUUGACCAAUAGCCCUUAGUUUGGGCUGGGCUUGAUGGUCCUCAGGCUAUGCAGACUUAAUACUCAUUGGGUUUGGGAUUCCAUGUAGUUGUAAUUAGAUUCUAUGUUUCCUAAUAUUAACACUAAAUUAGGUUUAAUUUAUAAUUAAAUAUAAUUAGAAGAGGAAAAUGAAAUAUCAUAUCCUUGCAAUGAGUUAUGUGGAUAUUUCAUUUAAAAAGUCUAAUGUGAAAGGUUGUUAUGGGUAGUCGUUUUUUGAUGCAAAUUUUCUAUGGAGUCCUAAUCUUAGAAGGCAAUAGAAAAUUCACAACCAAGAUUUCUUAAAAAUAACUACAUUAAAGUGUAAACAAAAUAUCAAACUAGAAUUUCUUAGAAAUAUCAAACUAGAAAGUGAAAUAUAAUACAAUUCAAGUAUGAAAAUGAAGGACAAAAGAAUAGACCAAAUUUGAAAGACCGUUCAAAGACUCGUUUCUUGUUACAAUCCAAUCAUGACUUCCACUAGUAGAGAUCCUCUUCUUCUUCUUCUUCUUCUAAUUCCAAAUUGAGGGACCAUGCGUUCUUGAGUACCCUCAAAAGCUUUUUUGAUCAUUUAUACUGUAUAACCUUACUUGUAAUAACUGUAUAAGAUAUUUGUGCUAAUUGAUAAGAUAUUUGUGCUAAUUGUAUAAAACAUGUCCUUAUACAUCUUGAAUUUAUAAAUUUAUGAAUUUAUGAAUAACCCAAUAAUCAAUGACUUCUUAAUAAAAUUUUUUUAAUUUUGUUGCCUUAAAAGUCAUGUCCCUCCUUUACAAAGCUUCUUAGAAAUUUCAUAUAUUUUUUUUUGUCAUCAUCUAUAUUUCAUAUUUCUUUUUCGUCUUCAAUAUUUGUGUAUAUAUCUAAAAUAAAACCUAUAAGAAAAUGAAAAAUUUACACUUAAAAAGUGUUUAUUUGAAAUUUAGGCAAUGAACUUAAAGGAGUUUGGAAUUACUCCUCGAAGUUGAUAUGUUUGUUUUAAAAUCAAAGUGGAUUUCAAUUUUCUUUAAAUCCACGUUAUGAUAUUACGGUAAUAUGUAGUGUCUUUAAAACCAUGGCUUCCUCUAGCAAUUCUAAGAGACCCUUUUACUCUUCUUCUUCUUCUAAUUCUAAAUGGAGGUACGAUGUGUUCUUGAGUUUCAGAGGCGAGGAUACCCGCAACAACUUUACUAGUCAUCUCUACAAGGCUUUGGAUCAUGCCAACAUUGAAACCUUCAAAGAUGAUAAAGAACUUCGAAGGGGAGACGAGAUUGCACCCGAGCUCCUAAAAGCUAUUGAAGGAUCAAGGAUUGCCCUUAUUAUCUUCUCGAAAACCUAUGCUCAUUCCAAGUGGUGCUUGGAUGAACUCGUCAAGAUCAUGGAGUGCAAGGAAGAAAAGGGACAAAAGGUUUUUCCUAUUUUCUAUCAUGUAGAGCCGUCUGAAGUCAGGAAACAGACUGGGAUUUAUGGAGAAGCAUUUAAC